Molecule: long non-coding RNA, 84284 nt
Filed under: Olea europaea (common olive)
Lineage: Eukaryota; Viridiplantae; Streptophyta; Magnoliopsida; Lamiales; Oleaceae
Description: long non-coding RNA (OEUR_LNC009606)
Source: RNAcentral
AAUUCUGAAGUCACAUGUUUUGUUCUUUGCUAGCUUUCUUUUAGAUUUCUACAAGGCAACCUGGUUCGCCAUUGUCAUGUUUCUAGGGCGAUGGUAAGGCUUGCUUUGUUUCACCUGGCUGGGAGGUCCGCUGGGGAAUGAAACCCUUUCAGAUAGCCUUUUCUCCUUUGGUGAGCUUGGUAGUAGCCUCGAUUCAAAGUGAUUGGUUCAUAGAACCAUGUGGGUUACCCCUUGUCGACGUGGGUGUAAGUGAUAUCUGGCCCUUGAUUCUAAUGUGGCUCACACUUGGGAUGAGGUAGUAACAAAUGGUUAAGAAAAUAUUUUAUUGGUGGAUUGAUUUUGUCAGUCUCCUUUUAGGCAUUAGGUUUAGCCUUUAUGUUGUAUUCUUGAAAGGUUGAUUUUUUCUUCUCUUUUCUGUCUUUUUUCUUUUUUGCUUUUUUUUAACUCUUAAUUCAAGUUUAAGUCAUGACAGAGAAAGAUAUCCUUGAAAGUUGAAACUUCGUACACAUAAUAUUGUACUAAAAAAGCAUGAAUUUAUUGGGGUUUUAAUUAUUGUUGAUUGAAGACAGAAGGAAAGAAGAAAGACAGAACAAGAAACCCUUUAAAAGUACAGUUAAUGUGACAUGGCAUGCACCUCUAUGCCUGGCUUCCUUUGCUGGCUUUAUAAAUUGAAUUAUAAUUGUGAUUGCUGCUAAGUAGUUGUGCAUUCAGGGGACCGGGAAGGAAAGGAGUAAGUUUUUCUCACGUCAGCUGCCUCCUAGACAUCAAGCUGAAAAGUCACACAGCCAAUAUUCAAAUUUGAGUACCGUGUUAACACAAGUUCAGCAGAAAAAGAAGUUAGAUGAAGAUGAUUUUACAGUUCCCAUCUUCACUGAAUCCCAUCCAAAUCAAGAUCAUGAUAAAUAUUUUAGUAAUUUGGAUGCAAAAGAAUUCCCUCCCUCCAACUGUGACGAUACCAAUCACACAUUGAAAUUUCCAAAAGUUGCUGAUAACGAUCUAAAACAGACUAGCAUGGCUGUAGGAAGUAGCAAUCGAGGAGGAAAAUGCCUCAAAGAAGUGAAUACGAGAGAUUUUGUGGCUGCUCAGGAGCAGAUGGAUAAAGCCCUCUUAAAUUUAUCAUCAAUAAAUAAAACUGAAGGUCAGAGGAAACAAAUUGAUGGGUCUCAGUCUGAUGAACCAAGAGAUAAUCCAGCUAAUAGUAUCGUCAGAUUACAAAAGGUUGAUAAUAAUAUAAUUCCAGAGUUGUUUGCCAAGUCACAACCUGCAGGCUUUGUCCACAGUAAUGAUGUUAUGAGGGAGUCUAGUUUCAGCAUAAAUAAUAGACAUUCUUCUUCGUUCAGGGAUUUCCUGUUAGAAGAGCAAAAUAUUAUUCAUGAUCUGAGUGAUAUGACUUCACAUGAAAAAAGUUCAUGUAGCUCGCCACAAACGGAAAAUAUUGACAUGGGCGACAGUGUGUCUGAGACUUCUAUGGUGGAUUCUUUAUCUGGACUGGAUAUAUCUCCUGAUGAUGUCGUAGGAAAAAUAGGCCAGAAACAUUUCUGGAAUGCCAGGCGAGCUAUUACCAAGUAAGUUCUUCCCUUUAACGUAUGUCUAAAAUUGUGCCUUUUGGAGGAUUUGAAUUGAAGAAAUAUUAAUUCCAAAGAUUGUGACAUUUUCUAAUACUUCCCUUCCAUGUAAAUGAUUAUCAAUUAGGUGGCUUGUUAGAAUUGUACAAGACAAUGUUUAGGUAAGAGAUUAUUCAAAAAUUGAGAAUAAUUUGUGUAUCCGCAAUGAUAAGUAACUUUUCUUCCAUUAGCUGGUCUUAAAGUUUCCUGGUGGUGGUAAUUAUAAUCUAGUGAAAUAUACAAAAUGUUCAGCUACUUAAAUAGUGCCAUAAAGAACAAAGAUCUGAAAUUUUAAAUCCCUGACAGAGUGAAGACAAGAAAAAUUAAAAUGUCAGGUAGAAGAAAAGGCUUAAAUAGCACUUGGGAUCCUGAACCUUUAAAACGUUUGUGACCAACAACCUUUUUACAUGAAAAUCAUCAUUUUGACCUUUACAAGGUCAAUUUCUUAUUAAAAUCACUAUCCUGCCCUUAAUUUAGUAACUUAAAAAAAUAAAGAAAAAGAAGAAACAAAAUCUAAUUUCGAAGAGAACACCAAACCAAUAUGACAAUUCCUCCACCCCGUUAGCGGCGAUGAGACUUAUCCACUCUCCACCAGCUAAACCUGCCCAAACCCAUCACCUGCCGCACACCGGCUAUGAAGCCAACCACCCACACACUCGCACACUCCGUCCUGGUCUGCAUCACUGCUGUCCACAUCCGAAAUACAAAUCUUCUAUUUCCGUUGAUUUCCUGAACUGGGGAAUGAACACGUGAACUUCCCACCUGCCCUGCAACCGCCAUCUGCCACAAUCACCAUUGCAACCUUUACUUCACCAAUUCUCAAAAUCCAAAACAGCACCUAAAAUUGCACACAAAUUAGCAAUAUAAUUUUGCUCCAAGCUCCCAAAGUUUAUUUGCUGAAUUAGCAAAAACUGUUCAAAUUUUAUUCAAUAAAACAAUCCAUUUCAUAAAAAACCAUUUAUUUGGAGUCUUGGACCAAAUGCUAUCUACCUGUUUUUCAUCUUCCCAACCAAAUAUCCAGCUUGAAAAUCUCUCCUUGUCUUGUUCAAGAAAUGUAGUAUUUUACUUUUGAGAUUUAUAAAAAAAAGGAAGAUCUGUUCUGCAUACAAUUUGCAGAUUCUACAUCUAUGUCGCGAUUUGCAAAAGAAGAUUGUUUUUUUUAUUUUUAUUCUUAUUUUUAUUUUUAUUUUUUUGGGUCAAUGUUGGUUACAAAGGAGGCCGUGCUUGGUAUGAUCAUAGAGGUGGUGGUGGGUACUUUCUUUCUUUUUAUUUUUAUUUUUUUGGAUGAAGGUGGUACUACUUUUUGACUGGGUAGCAACCCGGUGUCGGCGAUGGUGUAGUGCCAGAGAUUUUCCCCACUUUUUCCUUCUUCACGUCGCCAGCAAAUGACAAAAUUUUGAAUCUUACAGUGAUAGUCUGGGGGUAGGGAAUGGAUUUGCUGCCAAUUUUCCCAAAUCAAAAUGCAUCUUCUUCUUGGCGAUCUAUUAUAAUAUGGAAUCAUGUAUUUAAACAGAAAGAAUUCCAAUCUCAAUUCAACCAAUCUUGUCCAUUGAUUUAUGAAUAAGAAGAUGAGAAGAGAGACAUGAAUCCCUUUUAAACAACAGAAGAACAAUUGGAAAUGAACUCAUGGCAGCGACAAUGACAGGGCUGGGGAAAGGGGGUGGAGGCAGUGGAGUGAAGAAUCGGCGGUGGUGGUGGUGGGGUUUGGGAUGUAAACGAGCCAAAGUUCUCGGCUCUGAUAAAUACAGAUCGAGCUUUUUACGGCCCGAGAAGAGCUUAGCUGAGCCAAAGCUCGGUCAAAAAAUGGGGCUCGGCUCGAACUUUUAGCACGUGCCUUUUCAAGCCAAGCUGAGCUGGCUCUUUUUUUCUUUUUCAACUGAAAAGGCAACUAUUAAAAGGGCAGCCAGCCAUAUCUGCCUUUUCAAAGGCUCUCUCGUGUUCGUGUGACUAACACAGGCCAGUCCGUGUGACUUGAUGAGCCAUACUGGCCUGCUUGGGCUCGGGCCAACACUCGAAAAUGAGGCUCGGUUCCAAUGAGCCUCAAGAAAAGUGGGCUCGGGCUUUUCCCGGGCCGAGCCACAAGUCGCUCUAGCCGACCAGCCGAAUUGACAUCUUUAUGUGGGGUGCCUAAGCCUGGUUGCCUUUCGUUUUUUUUCUUUCCUUUUUCUUUUAUUUAUUUUAUUUUUAUUCAAAUAAAAUAAGGUUACAACUCUCAUCUCAAUAAAAUUUUGUCCUUUUGAGUCUUAUUGACGGUUUCCAUCAAAAAAGGAUGUUGGCUACAAAUAUUUUAUAGGUUAGGAACCCAAGGUACUAGAAUUAAAAGGUUUGGGACCCCAAGUGCUAUCUACCUUCUGUCAUGUGAGCAUUAUCUAUUUGAAUUCAUAUUUUUUAAUAAUAUUAGCAAGUAUGUUUCAUUACUUUUCGAUAUAUGAUCACCAAUUCAUUUUUUAAUAUUUUUACGCCUGUGCCUAUUUUUCUUAUUUUGUGCUCUCGCUGCAUGCAAACUAACCGUGAGUUCUCGACAGUAGAAAUCUUUGCAUCUUUGUAUUCUGGUACUUUUUUCAGUCACAAUUUGUUUUCAUCACGCAUCUUUAUGUAACUGGUUAUUUAGCUUCUGUUUGGGUUUAAUUUCUUUGCCAAAGUUCAAUUUUCAAAAAAAGAGUGAUGGAUAAGUGAGUAGUACUUGUGGUCAUAAGAAUUGUGCGGUUAAAAUUAAUGUUUGAGAAGGGACUUUUUAGCAAAAAUAAAAAUGAAACCCGAACAGAGGCUUAAAGAGGAUAGAUCAUUUUUGUCUCUUUUGGUAUCACUUGUGAGUUGUGAAGUUCACUGUAUUGUUAUAUAGAAAUUCGUCUUUUUGGGGAGAAUCUUACUUCCCAAAUCUACUUGGAGAUACUAAUGUAUUGGGGAUGGUCUUAAAAGAUUUAUAAAUUUUGAAAUAGGUUGAUGUUUUUUAAGGAGAGUCAGCCCGUGAGAACAUAAAAUCCGUAAGUGUUUGUUACUUCCUUGGAAAGGACUGGGAUUUCAUGUAGACUCCUUUAUUUAUAGGCAUUACAGAAUGUCGUCAGUUGCAUUGUGCCAUCUUUCUCCUCUUCUAAAAACUUGAUACUGAUUUUCUUUUGAAGGCAACCAUUUGUGGGAUGAGACAAUGUUUUCUACAAUUUGAGAAAAUGUGUUUUGACAUUAUUUACGUUGGGUAGGUUUAUUACUGCACAUUCCAAUGGUUCCCCGUCCCUUGACCUCAGCAUUUUCAAAUCUUCAGCUCCUUCAUGUUUUUCGGCAGCUUAUCAUCUUUUGUAUAGGAUGGUGGGACUGAGAGAGUACAUUUGGUUCGAGAUAAGUCAGUGGGAAGUGGGCCACUCUUCUAUGUCCAUUUGGUCUCCCUCUCGGGAUGUGUUUUUCCUUCCCUUUGUGUGUUCCAGUGGUGUGUGGGUGGAGAAGAAAGAAAAAUGAUUUUGAGAAUACUUGGUUACUUGUUUUCAUGAUCAGAACAACUAAAAAUCUGUUGCAUUUUUUUGACUAUAGUACUUGGUGAUCGUGUUUAUGAAGUAUCUACUUGUUCUUGAGUAUUAAGAGUUUCUUAGAAUGUUUGGACACUGCAUCCUGACCCUUCUCUGAUUCGUAUGCAUGUUUUUAUGUACCCACUAAAAAAUUAAAUAAUGAGCCACAGUUCUUGUGCAUGACCCUGCCUGUAUGACUAUGUUGCCUAUUCACGAGGAAAUGUGCCAAUAUUCACCUUUCCGUGUAAUCAUUAUUAUUAUUAUUUUUUAGCUCAAGUUAAAUGUCCUCCAUAUUUUUCUUUCUUUUAGUGAAAAUUUGACCUCUGUAAAUUUUGUGUGGGCAUGAAUCAUCUAGCCAAUUCUAAAUUGCUAGUAAAGAUUCUGAUGAUUUCUUCUUUUUCUAUUCAUUGGCAAAUAGUGCUAUAUUGGAAGUUUCUCGUUUGGCAUGGUUAUUACUUUCCACCAUAUAUUUAUUGUAUUGUGCAUCAUCAACUCUAUACGUCCUUUUACAGUCAACAGCGUGCUUUUGCAGUUCAAGUGUUUGAGUUGCAUCGACUAAUAAAGGUGAGAGCAGCUAUUCAGUUCAUGUAGCUUUAAUUGUCGCCUUUGACCUUCUUUUCUAAUUUCUUGUGUUACCCGUGAUUUGAUUUAUGAAAAUCAGCCUUCAUAACAGUUCUCAUUAUUACCAGGUUCAGAGAUUGAUUGCCACGUCGCCACAUCUUUUGCUUGAGAGCACUGCUUGUUUGGACAAACCCAUAAAUAUUUCUCCUGUGAACAAACUUCCAUUAGAUUAUAUUGCUAAAGCGCCCCCAAAUAUUUCCAAGCGCAAAAGCAACUCCGAGAAGCCAAAUACCGAGAUUGAAUGCUCUGCUGAGAAUACUGUGGGAAGGAUGCCCCUUUCUUCCACGCAAAAUGGUAGUCGACCAUCAACUUGCAGGCCAUUUUUGGGAAAUCCUCUAUCACCAGCUGCAAGCAGUGACCAUAAUUCUGAACCGUGGUAUUUUAAUCAGGCACAGGGGCACCAGUGGUUGAUACCUGUGAUGUCUCCUUCUGAAGGACUAGUAUACAAGCCAUACCCUGGACCGGGAUUUAUGGGUCCUGUCUGUGGACCUCCAGGAUUGGCUCCAUGGAUGAGUAAUUUCUCAACUCCCGGAUAUGGAGUUCCUGCGUCAAAUCAUCAGUAUCAUCAAGUGCCAUCCUUCCCUCCUGCCUGGCCUCAAGGUUACUUCCCAACUUAUGGGAUGCCAUUCGCUAAUCCAGCCUUCUCAGGUUCAUCUGUUGAACAAACGAACCACUUCAAUGUCCAACAUCAGAACUCUUGCAAUAUGCUGAGACAGACGAAAGAAGCCGUUCCCAAUGUUAUAAAGCCGCAUGCAGCUAAGAAUAAUGAACUGCAGACGAGCACAGCCAGUAGUCCAACAGAAAGACCACAGUGCAGUCGAGAAGGAUACGCCGUGGUAGGAACAAACGCACUUCAACUUUUACCCACAUCUGCGGCUGUCAGUGUCCCUGAUUGUAAUAUUCAGUCUGCCGAACCUGAAUGCCCUGCUCGGGUGAUCAAGGUUGUGCCUCGAAAUGCCAGAUCAGCAACGGAAUCUGCUGCUCGAAUUUUUCAAUCAAUACAAGAAGAGAGGAAACAGUAUGAAUAAAUGUAGCAUUGUCAGCCGGUCCUGCUCGUUCACAUUUAUUCGUUUGAUUGAAAUUAAAGUUUUACUUAUUAUACUGUUCUGACAGUUCAAUCUUGUUGAAUACUAUGUACUAACUGUACACUUGGUGUUUCGGAUCUCAUUUUGCCUUUAAAUGUUCGGCGAAUUUUAAUUUUCACUUUCAUCUCAUAACAAGCAAUAAUCGCAACUUUCAUAAAUUUAUUGCCAAUUGUAUUCUUAUAAUCCGCAGGUCAUUAGCAAUUUAGUUGCUGCUACUAAUAAAAAUUUAACGCAACCGGUCACAACGAUGACAUUUCAUGUUUUUUGAAUUAAAUGAUGUUAUUUGUAAUUGCUCACUAUGACAGUAGUUUUACGUGAUAUACACGUGACAGAUGGUUAUUUGAUUUAUGAGUCAAUAAAAAAUUAUCACAUUAAUGCAUUAAAUAAUUGCAUGCCAUGUAUAUGUCACGUAGAGCGAUUACGAAUAAUAUAAUCAAUUUGAAUUUUACGCUACCCUUAAGUGAAACUUGAACUUAGGUUAAUGUGAAUGUUGAAGCUUAUGACUUGGUUUUAUCACAUUUCAUGUUAAUUUCACUUUAGUUAUAUGUUUUUAAUUUUUAGUUGAGAUAGAUCCGCUCUUAUAAAUAAAUCACAUUUCUUUUAAUUUAUUCAUAAAUUGAUACUACACGUACUAAUUGAUAUUAUUUUAAUAUGUUGCGUUGUUUAUUAUUUCGUGGCCUCAUCUAAAUAUCUUUAUUUUUGACAUGUUCAUAUGAAUAAAUCGUCGCCUAUUUUCUCUUUAUUCUUAACAAAGAGUUUAAUUAACACACAACGUCUGUCUGUACAUAAAAAGUUAUAUUUUCACAGCAUAGAAAUAAAUUCAAUUAUCACAUUUACAAAUUAAGUAAAAAUUGCGGUCUUAAAUCUUUCACUUUACUAUGACCUUUACCCUAAUCUUUUAUUUAUUGCAAUUUCAGCUCCAAAUUUCGUUUUUUUUUUUUUUUGACAUCGAAGGUACAAGGAUGGAUUUCAUCUAAAAUAUCCAUCAGUUGAUCAAAAAUCAAGAGCAUGAUAAAUUUACAUUUUCAUAUAAAAAAUGUUUCGUGGACUGGAGCAGACUACCAUGAGAGAAAAAAUAAGAUUAAAUGUUAAAAAAAAAAAGUGUAUUUUAAAUCCGUCAUAUGAUUUUAACUCACAGGCUGUCACCCCUAACUUUUCUUCAUCCCUUGAAUUCUUGAUGCGAAGAGGAUCUUCUAAGAGCGACUUUUUAUUUAUUUAUUUAUUUUUUCAUAUAUUCAUAAAAAAUUAAUCCCCAAAAAAUCAUCAAUCACAGAAGCGGAUAAAUCCCCAUCGGUCAGUUAUGGCGUCCGUGCGUGCUUCGAUUAUAUAUUCAAUGGAUCAGGUGACAUCGCCGAUUUUAAUUUUAUUGCAGGUUUUAUAUACCAUUUUUUGUAAAGAAAUAAAUCGACAAUGUUUACACGCAUUUUUGGGAAACCUAAGCAAGAGACAAAUGCUCUGGCAACGCUGGACAAGUUAAAUGAGGUAACGAUAUUUGAUCUUUGAAUUAGUUGUGAAUUAUUUGAUUAUUUUUGUCUUAAAAUAAGUUUAUAUUUUGUGAUUAUAAUGCAAUAAUAGUUUUAUUGGAUACUUUCUUGUGGUAAAAGUGAGCGUGUUAGUUGAGACAAUUAAGUUUGUCAAACAGUUUCGAUAGGUUAGAUUUUUGUUUCAUAUUUGAUAUAUGAUUUGAAUUCAACUCUCUAUUACCUAUUUCCGGUAAGAGUAGUUAACUGCAAUGUGGGUAAUGUUACCUGUUCUCUAGUUCAAAUGUUCAAUUGUCAAGCAGAAAACAAGCUUUUGAUCUUAUUUAAUAUAGGGAUGCUUCCAUUUGGCACUAUCUGGUCCUGAGUUUCAGUUAUGAAAGAACGAAAAAGUGCGUAGGAAAACCUUUUCUUCUUUUGGUUUUGUAGGAAAAAUAGUCGUGCAUAAAUUAUAUUCAAAUAGCUUAGCUUUUACGUGCAUAAAAUUGGACAGAAUUUUGACUUACCAAAAUCAAGUGCGUAAAGUAGAAAUGAGAAAUGCAUGAAUAUUGAAGUGAAUAAGCAUUAACAUGAUAAUUUCAUAAUGUAAUGAUAAAAAAAGUGAAUGAAUGAAUGAAAACAAGCAAAUGAGGUCUAUAUAUAAAUGUUGAAAAUGUUUGUCUCAAAAGACAACCUAUGGAAGAGACACAACUAUUGGAAUUAAUCUCCAUAUUUGAAGAUACACGUCUAUUGAAAAAUAAUAAUGUCAAAAGUUACAAUCUUUCAUAUAGAAUGACGCACCUCUUUAGCUAAAUAACUUCUAGAAUAUUCCAUAAUAUUCUAUGUAAUUUUUCAAUAAUUCACAUAUUUAAGUGACUUAAUUUUCCAUUCACCAAAUAACAAUAUCCACUUAAAUAAUUAAGAAUUGGUCAAAACCAAUUUCAUAUACAAAUUUUCAUAUGAGAACUUGAGGGAAUGAUUGCAAUCAGCACGAGGACAUGUAGAGAGACUUGACAACUUACAAACUACUUUCCUUUCGUAUUUCAUGGUCUUCAACUAUAGCUAUAGAGCUUUUAGACUUUCCUUUUAGUCUGUUCGGAGAAAAAAAAAGUGUGGGAAAUUUAUGAAAACCUAUUUUACUUUACUUUUCUUCUUUUUCUAAAAGAAAUAUAGAAUCCAUGUGGAGACGUAAUGUUCAUGAGAUUAGACUUAAACAUUUGAUUGCUUUGGCAAUUAUUCACUGACUGAAGGCAGUUCUUCUCACCAGAUUAAUCUCAACCAUUUAAGUUCAUUGCAUUAUUUUUUAUAUGACUACAGUCAAGUUUUCGCGGGAUUCAAAAGCUUGGCAUUUCGAUAUCAACAUAUACUCAGUUAAAUACCAUCCCAGCUUGGUCUUUUGUAUUUAACUGCGAGAUAGAGAUUGACAGAGUGAAUGAAUACCCAUUGUAGGAUAAUAAUUUUCAUGUACUUACAAUGAAUAAAUAGCAUGGAGGAAUUCACCUUAAAGCUAGAUUGACCUAAAGUUUUGCAUUUGUAAUAUUCUUAUAAUUUUAUGCUAUUUUAGUUCAUAGAAUUCUUUUUGUCAUCUUUAUUUUAUUAACUGUGCUUGGUCAAUCUGUGCAGACUCUUGAGAUGCUAGAGAAAAAAGAGAAAGUUCUUAUGAAGAAGACUGCUGCCGAAGUUGAGAAAGCCAAGGAGUUUACAAGAGCCAAAAAUGAAAGGGGAAUGAUCUAUUUACUAUAGCUUAUGUAAGUACUCUUACCAUCCAUUGCAUCUAUGUAGAAUUUCCCAAUUUUAAAUGCUGUCCUUUUUGAGAUACUUGGCUUAUCACCAUGAUUUUCUACAUUUUAUUCCACUAAAAGCAAUUUUUCCUUGAGAACCCAUUAUGUCAAUUAUUUCAAACCGCUUCUUAACCUGAUAACUUGGACUCAGUAAUUCCCGUUUCAGUUGAGGCCUUAAAAUAUCCGUUUAUCAAUUUGUGAUCAACUUAAUCUAUUAUACACAGAAUUGUAUUCUGCGAUCUGCCCUUCCAUUGUCCCAUAUAGGCCAGCAAUAUAUGUCUUGAAUUUUUUCCCCUUGCCUUGCAAUUUUUAUGAAGAAUUUUCUCCCAUAUCUUUGUUAACAGCUGCAAUACAAUGUUUGAAGAGAAAGUGGCUCUAUGAACAAAAAGUUGAACAGCUUGGAAAUUUUCAGUUGCGUAUCCAUGAUCAGGUGCUCAUGAUCUUUUUUGAACAAGAUAGUUUUUCAUGAAUUUCAAAUUUUUAACAUUCUAUUCUUUACCUUUUUUCAGAUGAUAAUGCUAGAGGGUGCAAAAGCUACAACAGAAACUGUUGACGCUUUGAGAACUGGAGCAGCUGCAAUGAAAGCCAUGCAGAAGGCGACGUAAGUUGUAUUACAAUCCCGUCUAACUGUUUUAUAAUUAAGAAAAUUAAAUUCGAACUGCAGCAAGGGAAGUGGUAUAAACUUGAAGCAGCCUUUUAAGAUAGACUUUCAAAGGCUGCACCAAGAUUUGAAAAAUGUUGUGUUGAGCUCAUAAUUUAGAUGUUUCUUUGUAGCUCCAGUGGUGACAAUAUUGCGCAUCAUUGCUUCGAGGGAAACUCCAAUUUAUAAAAAUAGCUCAGUAAAUGAAUGGUAGUGAGGGUAUGGGGUUCUUAAAGUGUGAAAUUGGUUCCAUUGUAUGAUGUUGUCACUGAUUCUUUAGUGACCAUGAUGUAGGAUUCUUCAAAAUGCCCAGGAUUAUGUUCACUCACAUUCUCUACUUGCCUUUUCCGUUUUAGUAAUUGAUGCGGACAUCCUUUGCUAGGCCGCCUGUUUGGGCCAGUUAUUUAUGUUUUAUGUCUAUUUAUUUAGGUUUUAUAUUUUAUUGGGCUUGUAUAUGGGUUUGGCCCAAAUCCUUAUGCUUUAGGGUUGUUUUCUUUUAUUUAAAGGUUUGUAAUUAAUCUGGAAAAACUCAGUUGAUGAAGAUGAUGAAUUGAAUGAAAAUUAGCAUUGCUUUCUCCCGCCUUCCCCUCUUGUUCUCUUCUCCUCCGGUCUUCUCCCUCCAUUCUCUCCGUUCCUCCCCCCCUUUCUUGCUGCCUAUUUCUUCCUGUCCUUCUAACUGUGGUUAUUUCUUGAUCAGUAUCUUGAUUCUACAUCAACUUGGUAUCAGAGCCAAACUUGGUUUCCCUUCAUCAGAUUGCUACUUAAUUUUGAGUUCUAGACCAUUAUGGAGACCAUACACUUUCUGGAAAUUCUUAAUCUUCUUAAUCUGAAGAAUUUGUUGAAAAGGGGAUCUGGGUUUUUCUUUUUCAGCCAAAGAUUUUAGUUUCAAGCCAAUCACCUGCUUAAUCUAUACCAUCUCACAAUUUUACGGGUUGGAUCACUUUCUCAAAACAGUCUCCCUUCAUCAAAAAAACUUCUGCUGCGUAUGGUUAACCGCUGCCACCAUGAUCUGAAAAUAGUCCCAAAAUCCAUUACUGCUGCUGUAACACCACCCAAUAUCACACCACCCAACCGCCUUGUACAACUGCCAUUGGCCAUUACCAUGCAAUCAUUCCUGACAGUUAAAACCCAUGAACCUUUAGCCCACUCUCCAAUUAUAAAUGUACAAUCCAUGUACCCAAAACCAACAACACAACCAUUCCUCUAACCAACUUCCUCACGUCCCAAUAACCAAACACAAACCCAAUUACUGAGCCCAUGUUAUUUAUCAUACCUGCAACCCAACUUAAUCCCUAAAAUCACCAGGCCCAUUACCGCAGCUAAUCAUCACUUAACCCACUCAAUCUAGUCCAUUACUCGGCCCAAAUUACAACAACAUUCCCACCAGAAAUCGCAAUCUCUUCUGCCGGGUUCCGCCACCGCCGACAACCUCUACUUACCGGCAUCCCACAUAAUCCCACCACCCUGAAAUUACAACAAUCAACCCAAGCCACAUAACUUCCAUUAACCAGGAUGUCUCAAACUCCAAGAUAGUAACUGGUGGAAACUUCGCAAUAAUCGGUAACUUUCCUUUUCACCCAAAAAAAUAAAAUAAAUAAAAAAAACUCUCGACUAUGAGUUCGCAAACGCCAAUCGCCGCCAGACACGCCCACCAGCAGCUUUCACAAUCACAAUCCAAUGUGUCGCCUUCAUCAACCCGUUCUACAUCAAACGCCACCGCCAUUGCUCAAUCUAGCUAACAAAUCGCACCACACUCUGUUCCAAAUCCAAAAAACACCCACGCUACCACGUCAAGUUCCAUCGUCUCCUCCAAUUUCGAGCAACUCACAACGCCCUGAAACAUCUACCUCGCAAUCGUCACCUCCAAUUGUAACCACCACCGCAGCCACACCAACCACCAAUCACCUUCACAACGUCGAAGCCCAUAAUCACUGCAGCCGCUACCUACCGCCGUUCAUCGAUACAGCGACGCUGUCCAUAAUCACCUCAGCCAUCGACACCUCACCUCCACUCGAUCCCCAAUUUGCCAUCACGCAGAUUGGGCUAGAGAGAAAAGUUAGCACUUGAUUUUUAGAUUGGGCUGUGCUUCAGUUAAUAUUAUGGGCAUGGAAUUGUGUGGUAAUUUGAUUUUCAAUUUGGGCUUUACUUUACUAUUUUGGGUCCGAUAUUUUGAUUGACAUUCCCUUGGACGAUUUAGUAGCAUUUUGCCACCGUGAUCGUUCCAACGUGGAAAUCAUGAAUAGGAUAUCAUUUGACAGCAAUAUUUUGUGAUUUAACCACUCGACAGGGUCGAGUUUUCUCCCACCCCGGGAGAGUUGAUGCGGACAUCCUUUGUUAGGCCGUCUAUUUGGGCCAAUUAUUUAUGUUUUAUGUCUAUUUAUUUAGGUUUUAUAUUUUAUUGGGCUUGUAUAUGGGUUGGGCCCAAAUCCUUAUGCUUUAGGGUUGUUUUCUUCUAUUUAAAGGUUUGUAAUUGAUCUGGAAAAACUCAGUUGAUGAAGAUGAUGAAUUGAAUGAAAAUUAGCAUUGUUUUCUCCCGCCUUCCCCUCUUGUUCUCUUCUCCUCCGGUCUUCUCCCUCCAUUCUCUCCAUUCCUCCCCCCUUUCUUGUUGCCUAUUUCUUCCUGUCCUUCUAACUGUGGUUAUUUCUUGAUCAGUAUAUUGAUUCUACAUCAGUAAUAUUGACGAUGUGGACAAGACAAUGGACGAGAUCAAUGAGCAGACCGAAAAUAUGAAACAGAUUCAAGAAGCACUGUCAGCACCAAUUGGUGCAGCGGCUGAUUUUCAUGAAGUAUGCAUUCUCCAAUUUCUGAUAACCUUUUCAUUUGUGAAAGAGGACCAGAAAAGGUCGGGAGUUCUUCCUUUGACAAUAGCAUAUUUCUUUUACUUUCACUGGAUGAAUUAGAGGCAGAACUUGAAGAGCUGGAAGGAGUUGAGUUGGAGGAACAACUUCUGCAACCUGCCACAACCGCCCCUGCUGCUCCAAUUCAAGUGCCCACUGGAAAGCAACCUGUACGUCCAGCUGCUCGCAAGAAUACAGAAGAGGAAGAUGAGCUUGCUGCAUUGCAGGCAGAGAUGGCACUUUAACAAGGUCGUUUUCUAUAUCUCUUGGUGUAAGUGUUUAAAACCAACGUAAUGGGUCAAGGGUUGAACCGGGAUCAAACUGGAGGUCAAGAAUAAGUUUAUACACCCUAAAUUAUUCCUCAGUUGUUGUUUGAUAAAUUAUGUGCUUAUUGCAGCAUUGAGCUCUUAGUGCUGCACUUGCUUGGAAAAUUCUUUUGCGGUUGUCAGUCAUACUUUGAAGAAAUUUUAUGAAGGUGGAGACCAUAUCUUGAGCUGCUGCGACCACCCUAUUCUGUGAAAAACUAAAUUUCUAUAUGUCCAUUUCUAGUACUUGUAUAGAUAAUGUUCGAUUUAAUGUUUGGAAGUAUAAUGUGUGAUAUUGCUUCUUAUCUGUUAUAAUUGAGAUUUUAAUAGAAUCAAAACUUUCACAACUACAUUAAUUGAUGUUAAUAAUGGUUUACCGAUUUCCAACUUGUUCAGUAGGAUUGGUAGGAUUUCAUUAGGUCUAGAAAUGUGUCACCUAAAACAGAUCAACUUCUUCACCAAAUCCUCCCCCCUCUUUCCCAACCACCGCCGCUAAUCUCCAAUGCUUGCAGUACACAACCCAUUGUUGCUGCCUGUGAGUAUUAUAGCCAUGAAAGUUUCUCUUCUCAGUACCCGCGUCUGGAACUGAACCUGAAUGGCAACUGGUUUUUUGGAGAAUCCACCAGAGGUGUUACGAACACGGUGUAUGCCCUGAUCUUGACGAUACUCGGCUGCAGCGUUUCACAGAUAGGCAUUUUUUUUAAAUUUCAAUUAAUCAACAAAGAUAUAAUUAAAUUCCCUUCUCCAUUCUCAGUGAAAUGGCGCAAGGAACCAGAGAAAUCGGAAGGAAUUUCGCCUGUGUGUGCAUAAUGGACAUUCAUGCUUGAAAGUUUUCCUUCGAAUAUUGAUUCCAAGCCAUGAAUUAUUGCUGCAGAAGAGCACGAUCCUGCCAAAAUUUGAUCACGCAACAGGGACAUAUGCAUUGUUAUCACGUUAUCGGAAGUUUCUAUAAUUUGUCAUGAACCCUAAAAAGAAACUUCAAUUAAGUUUCUAAGAAUGUGUACCUGCAACAUAUCAAACUUGGUGAAUGUUUGGAUAAGCUGAUUAAAAAAUUUACUUAUAUAUAAAAUAAGUAAAAACUAAAUAAUAUUUUCUUUGGAAAAAGAAGAGAAAUAUUCGGAAAUAAAUCUUAUCUUGCUAUUAGAAUAAAUAAGUUUUUCAAAUAAGAAAAAAAUAUUUAAGUAAUUGGGAAUGCUUAUAAACAAAAUAUCAACUAACUUUUAGCUUAGCCCAAAUGUUCUGUAGAGAACAAGAAAAAAAUAAAUUGAGAGAAUCCUUUGUAAUAGUUUCUGAGAGAGACAUUUUAUUCGGUUGUGAAUUGGCCACUGACUAGAAAGUAUGAAACAAGAAAUGGUGAUCACACCCUCACUUUCUUGUCCAUCUAAAAAAGAACACAAAAACCACUAGUUAUAACAAUGUGGGGUGCGUCAAAAUUCAAUAUUUACCUCGUCAAUUUCUCCUUUUUCGUCGUUCUGUUUGGAUACUACAUUUUUAGGGACCCAAAAUAUUGAAGUCAUCGAAUAAAUAGAUCAGAAGUAAAUGAAACUAUCACUCCACAAGUAUCUACUGUUUCAAAGUUCCAUGUAAACAUUGAUUAUAAUGUGUUCUAAUUUCUUACGUGCCGUGCCACAUUGAGUAUAUUGAAAAACAUGUAUAGAGGCCAUAAGCAACAAGUAUUUUUUGGUGGGACCGACUAGCCCCAUCCAGGCAUCGGACUUGUCGUGACUCGAGUAGCCCCGACUCAAUUUGACACCACUAUUAAUUUUCAUCUUAAAUAUUCAUGCACAUUGUACACAAAGGCUAAAAUAAAUAAUGUGAAAGUUCAAUUCAUUUGUAUCAAAUGUUUACAUAUAUAUGUUGUAUCAAUAAACAAUCCCUUAUCAUAUCAACUAACAUAUAUAUAUAAAGACAUCUCCUGAUGAUUUCAAUAUAAAUUAGGAACCCCUUCAUUGGCUGCCUCUUGGGACCAAAUUUCAUCCAGAAUUUCAUAAGAACGUCGAUAGCCGAUAUUAUCCAUUGGAAUCCCGUUGCUGCAACUGCCAUUGCCAAAGAUGAAAUCAUUUCCAAGCUGUGAAAAUGUUUCAGAAAUGGUUGAAUCUUGUUGGGAAGAUGAAGAAAAGCUCGGGUUUUUAGUACUCUCAGUUAAACAAGGACUUAUAGGAGAUGUCUCUUGAGCUGAAAAUGUGGGAACCAAUGUGUUAGUGGUUGAAGAUGCGAGGUCGGUUUUCGCUUUCGCAGCGGUGGUGUCGAUACUAUUUGUGGGGUUAUAACCAUAAUUUGCUGCUAUUGGCUUCUUCUUUAACUUGCUGUUCCAGUAGUUUUUCACAUCAUUGUCUGUUCUUCCGGGUGGAUGAGAUGCUAUGACAGACCAUCUAUGAAUUAAACAUUAAUAAAAUGUUAAUAAAUAAAAAAAUCAAGAAGAAAAAAAAUUAUAAUUAACAUUGAACUUUCUUGCUUCCCAAGACACCAUAGAGAGUGUAUAUGAUAUUGUCUUCUUCCGGUGUAAAAGGUUCAUGUAUGAUAUCCGGUCGAAGGUAAUUAAGCCACCGGAGACGACAGCUCUUGCCACAACGAUUAAGACCUGAUUGUUAAGUCGAAGGAUCGUUAAAUCUCAAAAAUGGAUCGCUUUGCAAUAAAAAAUAGAUUUGCAGAAAAUUAAAAAAUCGAACACGAAGAUAUGUUUCGCCCUUAAAAGGGCCCGGAUGUUCGAUCUUGCAACCUAAUCACCCGUUGAACAUCACUAAAAGGUGAUAAAGCUCAAGAUCCACUAAGUAUCCACCAAGAACAGUACACUAUGUACGAAAAGACCAAAGGUUUCUUCCAAUAUUCUUUCGCCUCUAUUCAAAACUGUAAUCCAACUCACUCUCAAUCGCUAACAGAUUAUGCAACACAAUCAAAAACCAUCACUAAGAUUACAGAUUGAGAAAUCACCAAGAACAUAUCGGAUUACAGUAACCCAAGAACCCUAAUCUAUCACUCAGAGAAAAUGAAAUAGAGACGAAAGGUUGAAAAGACUUCGAAUCAUCUAGAAUCGGGGCCAAAACCAAGUAAGUGUCUGAUCAGUCAACCAUCCAAGGGUGAAAGUGAAGCCACGUGUACAGUUGAACCUCAACCAUUUAAGAGGCAAAGGCGUGUUUCUUUAAAACACGAUUUACAACCCGAACUUAAUUCUAAACAGACCAAGCCCACAAGUCUCAAUCUGGGCCAACAAGAAAUGGUGAGGCAACCUAACUAAUAUAACAAUCUCCACCUUACUGAACUAUUUCUUAGUCUCUACUAGUGAAUCUAGAGCUAUAGCAACUGUUGGCUCAUUUGCUCUAAAUACCUGCAAAAAACAAAAUAAACACAUUAGUUUAAAUCUUUCCAAUGCUAAACACUUUGAAGUUCUGAUUUUUACAAUCUCAAGUAAUAUUCAGAAUCUUCAAGCAAUUUUGAAAUUUACUCAAAGGUAAUACCUAAGUUCCAAAAUCUGAAGGGUUAAAUUCUAUAGGAAUUUUGACCAGACUUAUCAAACCUUUUUCUACCAUGUUCCUCACAAAGUGAAAUUUUAUAUCUAUAUGUUUAGUUCUGUCAUGGUAGACAGGAUUUUUACUCAAAUGUAUGGCACUUUGGUUGUCUGUAUAAAUCCUAACAAUAUUAUUUUCAAAACCUAUUUCAUUUAACAAACCCCUAAGCUAAAGACUUUCUUUUACUGCAUCACAAGCAGCAAUAUAUUCAGCUUCUGUAGAGGAAAGAGCAACUAAUUUUUGCAGUUGUGAUUUCCAACUAAUGCAGCCAUCACACAAAGUGAAAACAUAUGAAGAUGUUGACCUUCUUUUAUCUAAAUCACCAGCAAAAUCAGAAUCAGUGUAGCCCUUUAACUUUACCCCUUCAUUGCUUCUUUUAAACAUUAAACCUAAAUUAGAGUUUCUUUUUAAGUCUCUUAGCAUCCACUUCAUGGAUAACCAGUGUGUUUCACCUGGAUUUGACAUAAACCUACUCAAGGUACUAAUGCCAUGAGAUAAGUCAGGUCUGGUACAGACCAUUAGGUACAUUAUUGAUCCUACAACAUUUGCAUAAGGAAUCUUUUCCAUUCUUAUAAAUUCAUGAUCUGUUUUAGGUGAACUUUCACUUGACAGUUUAAAGUGAUUAGCAAUGGGUAAGGUUACAUGUUUACACUCAAACAUUGAAAACUUUUCAAGCAUUUUCUUCACAUAUAUGCCUUGUUUCAAUAUUAACAUGCAAUUAUUUCUAUCUCUUUCUAUUUCCAUUCCAAGAAUCCUUUUUGCUUGUCCUAGGUCUUUCAUUUCAAAUUCAGAUUUUAAUUUUGAUUUAAUGAAGUUAAUUUCAGAUCUAUAAUGGCAAGCAAGCAACAUGUCAUCAAUAUAUAAUAACAGAUAAAUGGAUUCAGGUCCACCUGAAUCUUUAUAGAAAAAGCAGGAAUCAUAAUUGCUUUUGACAAAACCCAAAGUCUACACAUAGGAGUUAAAUUUGAUAUACCAUUGCCUGGGAGCUUGUUUUAGUCCAUAGAGGGACUUCUUCAACAAACAAACCUUAUUGAUCUUAGACUUUAUUUCAACCCUUGGAGGUUGACUCAUGUAUAUGGUUUCAUCAAGAUCCCCAUUGAGGAAUGCUGUUUUGACAUCUAGUUGAUCUAAUUCCCAAUCAAAAUGAGCAAUUAGUGCCAACACUAUUCUUAUAGAGGUAUAUUUUACCACUGGGGAAUAGAUUUCAUUGUAAUCCACCCCCUCCUUUUGAGUAAAACCCUUGGCCACUAAUCUGGCCUUGUAUCUUUUAUCUUGUGAGUUAGAGUCCCCUUGUUUAAUUUUAAAAAUCCAGUUGCAGUCAAUUAUUUUUUGGUUUUUAGGCCUAUCAACCAAAGCCCAAGUUUUAUUUUUGAUGAGAGAGUUCAUUUGGCCUCUUUCCAGAACUUAGAAUCUGGACAUUUAUUUGCUUCAUCAAAUGAAGUAGGUUCAGAAUUUAAUAAGUCCAGACCAGAGAAAAAGGUGACAAAUUCUUCAUUAUUAAAUCUGAUUGGAGGUCUUAUAUUUCUCCUUUCUCUAUCCCUAGUUAACUGAUAAUCAGCAAGUGUAGGAUUUGAAGACUCCACCUCAAUUUCAGUUUCAUUUUGAUUAGGGUUUUACUCAGACUGAGAGGUCUCCACCUCAAUUAGACCAUCUAGAUUUUCAAAUUCAUCAGUUUUGUUUUCCAUGAUGAUUUCUUUCAAUAGUGCAGGUUCUGAAGUUUUAAGAUUAGUUGAUUUCACACAAGGCAUGUCAUUUUCAUUGAAGAUGACAUUUCUACUGAUAAUGACCUUAAAGCCAUUUUGGUCUCUAACCCACAGUUUGUACCCUUUUGUUUCCUCUCCAUAACCCAGAAAAACACAAUCUAAGGACCUGGGUUCUAGUUUCCCUUCACUCUGAUGUGAAUAGGCAGUACAACCAAAAACUUUCAGUUUACUAUAAUCAAGAGUUUUUCCUGACCAUAUCUUUUCAGGAACUUGAAAAUCAAUGGCGCUUGAUAGACUUCUAUUUAUUAGAUAAGUUUCUAUUUUUAGGGCCUCUCCCCAAAAGAACUUAAGGAGACCAGAACUAUAGAGCAUAUGUUCGCGAAAUUAUUUUCUUUCGAUUUAAAACCACCGCAAGUAUACGGUUCGUUAACAAGUAAUAAAGUGGAUUCAAUGAAUUCGAAUAUCGUCCCACAGAGAUUGAUUAGUUCAAAUUUUAUCUACCUUAGCCUUAACCGAAACUAAAUUACCAAAGUGAAUGUAAACCUAAUUGAACCUCAAUUAUGCAAUUUUUUUUUGAUUAAAUUGAAAUUAAUAUGCAAAACAAUAAAUUAAACUCGAGAAUGAAAUCUAAAAGUUGAGAACGCACUUGUUAUAAUUAUUAGGAAUGAAAUACACUAGGAUCACGAAUUCCCAUGCAAUUAUCACUUUAAAUCCUAGUUUCACAAUAUGACAACACAUUUCGAUUUUGACGAAUCAAUGUUCCUAAAUCUAUCCAAUACUCUCUCUCGAGAUGUAUCAAACCUAUCUCUACAUACCACCGGUCUAUAUUUCUAUGACAAGAGCAUAUGUAAAAAUGCAUGCAAUUUUAUGAACAUUUAAAGAUUCACAUAGAGCAUAGCAGUAUAUUUCUAUCCACUAUCGGACCCUACGAUGAUUUAUACUAUGUCAAAUCUAUUCCAAUUCUCUUGAAUGCAAGAAUAAAUCACUUAAAUUCACACAAUUACGAGCCCUUAAUUGCGGAAACAUUUAAUUGCAUAUAAAUCAUUCAACAUAAUAGAAAUUAUGUCUUACAUCAAAUUGCAAAACUAGAAUAUUAAAAUUCAAAUCACAUGGUUCAUCGAUCUCCUAGCAUAAAUAGAAUCUAGCCUAGCAUGCUCAAAAUAACAAAAUACAUCAAAGUUUGUAUAUAAGACAUCACCGGGUUAUAAAAUUUGAAUAAAUCUUGAAGUUUUUCGUGUCAAUCUUUGUUCUUGCGCUCAAAUCCUCUUCAAGAAUUGUUUUUUGGCCUCCAAUUACGUUCUGAGCGUUUCUGGAAUGUUUUUGAUAUUUAUAUCCCGUGGAAAAUUAGGUUAACAUAGGUAUUUCAAUCGUAUGAGGAAAGAAAAUUUUCGUGCUGAAUUUGUACCAUGCGACCGCAUGGUUAUCCUCUUUUUUCAUUCUUAAUCCUUACAUCACUUCGUGUGGCCACACGACGUUUCUACCAUACGACCGCAUGGUAGAAUUGAUCUUUCAGUUCCUACAAUUUGGUCCCUUCACUUUAAUCUUCCACUUUUUUACAUCUUUUCUUCAUUUUUCACAUUCCAUCAUCCCAAAAUGUCAUCAAUUCGUAUUUGACAAACUCAAUUUCUUAAUUUGCUCAUCGGGUCAACUUUUGAGUAAUUGCACCUAGGUCCUUGAACUUUCACUUUGUGUCAUUUUAGUCCUUUUUUGCGUCUUUUCUCAUGUAUUUCACCAUGUCCAUCGGUGUUACCUACAAUUCACAAAUGUAAUGAAAUUAAGUCACAAUUCAGUCAUUUUAUUCGUAAUUAAGUCAUGUUUGUGACCUAAAUAAGUGUGCAAAAACACACUUAUCAAACACUCCAAACUUGAACUAUUGUUUGUCCUCAAACAAGAUAGUGACUAAAUUCUGAACAAACAUGGCUUAAUACCCUGCUACGGCUCAGGAUUGGACUAAGUGUUCGAUUUGAUGAAGAUAUAUCAGUGCAAAAAGAUUAAUGGCAUCAACCUUCGCCUGUUAAAUGCGCACUUGACGUGUGUGUGUGAGUUCAUGCCAACAUAUUAGAUUCAUGAUGGGUUUGAGUCCCGACCCCAAGUGGUCAAAUGUAUCCUUACUCGCUCGAGAGAUACACAACCCCCCAAACUUAUUAUUUUCACUCAAUUAUCUCGGGGUUGUGUUUUAAAAUUAGGAGUUUACAUAACUGUAGUCCUCACCCUCUCGUAGUUUGGAUUAAUCUCACUAUCACAAGUUUACAAUUCAACAAGUGAAGGCUCUCCUAAAUUUGAUUGCUUCGACACUCAAGAUUAAACUAGGUUACUUGUCUCGCCUCAAAGGUAUAUUUUCUUCAACCAAAUGUCCAAGGGUUUUUCUUCAUGUUAUUGUCUCUCUUUUGUUUUUCUCACUUUUCUCUAAUUUUUCUGAUUUUUUUUUGUUACCAUCUUCUCAUUUGCUUUCUAUAUAACCCAUGUAACGAGUUUUAGACCGGUGACUCCCAAAUCAGUUGGCUUUAGGGCACCAGGUUUUAAACAUUUGCAGGCUUAUUCACUCGAGUUAUAAAGGCUCGAUUAGAUGACUUUCAAUUAACCUCUUUCCCUCUUGCUUUCUAUAUGACUCUUUUAGCGAGCAUUAAGUCGAUGACUCCUAAACCAGUUGACUUUAGGGCACCAGAUUUUGAAGUAUCCUUACAGGCUUAUUUGCUCGAGUCAUAAAGGCAUGAAAAGAAGUGUAUUGUUUUCACAAAUUUAUUUUAUGCCCUUAUUGUUCUAGAUAUUUAGUUUCCAAAACUAACCUCUAAUUUAAGAUUUUCAUCUAAUCUUCACCCCACUGGUCUAGGCAAUCCACACAAUAGAAUUUAUGCACGGAGCCUCCACUCAUCUCAAUACUCCCUUACAAUAGCUCAACCAUCAUCAAAUUAUCUUAAAGCAGUUUACGGUUUAAUUCAAUAGAGGGUUAUCAUUCUUUUUCUAUUUUAUGCUCAAAAUCCGAUCAUUUAUCUAAUAUGUCAAGCAUGAAUAGUGUGCACAAAUAAUGUAAAGUUUUGCAUCAACAAGUGUCAGAUAACCUAAUUGCAUUAGAUCCAAAGAUUUUGCAGUUUAACCUAGUCCAAUUUUAACAUCAUAGCUAGCAAGGUUAUCAAACCCACACAAGCAUGCAUAAGAAGAGUUAAAACAAAAAUGAAUAAAAUGAUUUUUUUUUUGUUUUUCAUGCACACAUACCGAUAAACACAGAUAAUACAGAUACUUAGUUAAAAUUAUGUCACCUCCCCAAACUUUGUUACUAAAUUGUCCUCAAUGUAAAAUUAACAAAAGAUGAAAGACAGAAUUUCACGGACUACAUAAAAAUGAAAAUCCAAAAUGUGGUAAAUAGUACUUCCCUUGAAUCAAAACAGAUGAGGUGGUGGGAAACUGGGUCCUGUUGUACCAUCAUUCGACGGAGGGGGUGUCGUCCAAGGAGUUGCCGCAUCAUCUCAUUCAUUUCCCGCAUCAAGGUAGACUGCUGCAUCUGGUCGGCCUGGAUAGCUCUCAUGGUCUCCCAAGUUUCAUUUACCCUCAUCUGGAUAACGUCCACCCAACCAACAUACAUGUUCAUCCGGCCAUUCAUGGUGUCAACCUCCCGUCGCAUGACAGUAGCAUGAUCCCUAGCAUCUCUGAUGUAGUUCAAUGCAAGGUGAUUGUCCCUUUGUAAGCUUCCUAAUUCAGUCCUCAUGUUGCUAAAAUCUUGAAAGAAACUGUGAAGGUCCCGGCUAAUGCCCGUGGUGGUGGAGAAAAUCUGUCUCAGCAACUGAUUAUCCAUUUCAGCUAGUGGUGCUGGAGCCCGUGGGUGGUCCUGAUCUUUAGGGAUUUGACCUUGUUCUGCCUACUGCCUACGUCGCUCAUUUUCCUGCUCUUCCCUGUGCUUAACUCGAGCCCUUGUCUGAGCGUCAAAUGUAGUUCUUUUGAUCAUUGGGCUGGGUUUUUUCAGGUAACUCCUCAGAUAAGAGAGCAACACCCGCAGCCCGACAUAUACCACUAAUGAGGCUUGGAAAUAUCAAAGUGGAGCGUCGAUCCCUCCAAGUCUCCAAUGAGUGCAGUUGAUUGUAUAUAUGAGUAGCGAGAUCAAUUUUGUUACCUCGAGCCAAGUGGUAAAUGAAACCUGCUGUCUGAUCUGGGAAUGUAGUCCUGUGUGAUAUCGGCUCAACAUUGUGGCACAUAAAGAGCCAUAGAAUGGCCAUGGAAGGAGUAAGUUCAAUCUGAUGCCACUCGGUAGUGUCAAGGGGCCAUGCAUUCUCUCGCCCCAUUAAAACCUCAGCCACCUCAUUCCAGUUAAAGUCAAUUGGGAGGGGGACCACAUUCUCUAUGGUAAGCUGGUAGUAAUCAUGAAUGACCUCAGGAGAGAACAUAAUCCAUUUCCCCCGCACCCAAGUCUGAUGGAAAUGGUCGGAGCCUGGCGUGUCAAUGUCACUGUUGAAGUUAGCGAAGAACUCUAGGCAUAAGAUCUCAUAGAGUGGAUGCGGUCUCUCUAUUAACUUUUGCCAUCCACAGAGCUUAAUUAAAUUGACCAACUCAAAGCCUGGGAAGUCAUCAAGCUUAACAGGUCUUUCAGCAUGCAGUCCAAUGGUGUACGAUGUUUUCAUAUUGUGCCGCGGUGAUUUCAGUUAGGAAUCGCUGAACUUCGCCUGCGAGCUCUCGAGUACGGGCUGUUCCUGUGGAUGAGCUUGCCUUUUCCUUCCCGCGCACAGUUCUUUUUAGAGGCAUCCUGCAAAGUUUGUAGAAAUAUACUCAUUAAGUCGAAUUGAAAAGCAUAGGCAAGAAAUGAGAGAAAUUUAAUAAGCGAAUAAGCAUUGAACAAAUUUCCCAAACUUUCCUAGAUGCAUGCGUAGUAAUAUGGUGUGCACUUGGCAAGCUAUGAUGUUUAGUUGAAUUCACGUAGGUUUCCAAUAAGAAAAAUGGCGAAAACUCGGUGUAUCUAAACGACAUUUCAGAAUUUGGAACCAUGACCGAGUGCCCACUUUCGGCCCUUGACAUCAUUGAAAAUUAUCAAAUUUUUUUCGGAAAAUCUCCAGGCAUAUCAAAGUAUUCAUUGAAGUGUAACACACACUCGAAUUUCAAAUCAAUUGGAGGUUGUUUGGUGUGUCAAAUGAAAAUGCAAAAUAGGGGACGGAGGUUGCCGUGAUGUGCGGUGACCUAGUCAUGUGCCUAUGUGGUGCAAUGUGAAAGUGGGUGUUAUCUAGUUCAAAUUAAUCAGGAAUCCGUUGAAAUACAUCGAAUGCCAUGUUGGUGAAACAAUGUAUAUGCAAAAGGUAUUUAAUUUCACACACAAGGAUAUUGUGACAUUUAAGCAAACACUUGGUGUGCAUUAUGUGAAGAUGCUACCAAUGUAAAGAAUUGAAUGUAGGAAUCAUUCCAAAGUUUCCACAACACAAUCACAUCAAAUCCAAACACACAUGAACUAGCCUAAUCUCCCUCAAAUCGCCAAAAUUAAAAUUUCAAUCAUGAAAACCCGAAAACGGAAUUGAGAGGGAUGUAAGAAUACAUACCUUGUAUUUGUAGGGUUGAAUUGAGGUCAAAAGUUGAUUUCCUUUCGAUGUUAUUACAAUGCAAUGAUGAGAUUAGUGUGUAGAAUAUGUUAUGCUAGCCCAAAAUCGUGCCCUAGGUAAGUGUGUUCGGGAGAGAGUUUGGGGAAUAAAAGAUAUGAAAAUGAAAGGAAAAAACCGGGCGUGGGUUAAAAACCCACGCCUUAUUAUUGCCAUGCGGCCGCAUAGCUUUAGCCCCUGCGGUCGCACGCCUUAUUAUUGCCAUGCGACCGCAUGGUUUUAGUGGCUUUGGCCACUUAAUUCUCGGAUGGUAUAUGUGCGGUCGCACUGGAAUUUUUUUUUUCAACAUAAUAGAAAUUAAUAGUGAGAAUAAAAUAAAAUAAAGUGAUAUCCCCAAAAGCCCGACUUUUGACUAAAAUUAUGGUAUUCACUUGAAGAGUUUACCCGACUCUUAACAUCCCCAAUUUUCUUCAAAAACGUACUUCUAAACAUUCUGCGACGUGUAUGGGUCAGAAAAUUGGUACCCAAAAAUUGAUUUAUAUAUAAAUUUUUUUUUAAGUCAACAUUGACAUGUGAAAUUUAGAAAAAUUUACCAAGAAAUGCGUGAAUUUCACACCGAAUAUCCCAAACUACUCCAAUCAACCCGACUCGUGUGUACAGUGCUUGGACCCUUUUAACAUGUAUGGACGAUCGAUGACCACAUAAAGAAAAUGCAAAAUGAAAUUGACACAAAAAUAAUUUCUAAUCUAAGUGCAGAGAGCUUAAUAAAUUAAACGAAAAAGGAUACAGUGGGUUGCCUCCCACCCAGCGUUAGGUUAUAGUCGAUAGCUCGAAUUUUCUGUAGCUGCUUCAUUCUGGCAUCUCAAGUUGAACGGUGGACUUUUGGUUGGAGAAGUCACCGCUCGAGUAGUGUUUCAGUCUUUGCCCAUUAACAGUGAAGGUACCCUUAGUCUCGUGGCUCACUUGUAUAGCCCCAUAUGGUAGAACUUUCGUGACAGUAUAAGGACCCCACCACCUUGAUCUUAGUUUUCCUGGGAAAAGCUUGAGUCUCGAGUUAUACAAUAGCACUUUCUGCCCCACUUCAAACUCUCGCCUCUGAAUAUGCAUAUCGUGUCAUUUCUUUGUUCGUUCCUUGUAAAAUUUUGAAUUUUUAUACCUUCCAUUCUAAACUCAUCUAACUCAUUAAGUUGCAGCAGGCGUUUUUCACCGGCGGCGCUCAAGUCCAUAUUCAACUGUUUCAUCGCCCAGUAUGCCCGUGCUCCAUUUCUAGUGGCAGAUGGCACGCUUUCCCAAAGAUUAGGCGGUAUGGAGACAUGCCUAUCGGGGUCUUGAAUGCUAUUCUGUAAGCCCAUAAUGCAUCGUCUAGCUUUUUAGACCAAUCCUUUCUAGAUGAAUUCACAGUGACUUCUAGUAUUCUCUUCAACUGCCGAUUAGAUACCUCAACUUGCCCGCUGGUUUGUGGAUGAUAUGGAGUAGCAACGUGGUGUUUAACGCCAUAUUUAUUCAGCAACUGCUCAAACUGGCGAUUACAGAAAUGCUUGCCCCCAUCUCUGAUUAUAGCCCGCGGUGUAUCAUAUCGGGUGAAAAUGUAUUUCUUCAAGAAUUCAAUUACUGCCUUUGAGUCAUUUGUUGGCAAUGCAACUGCUUCCACCCAUUUUGAUACGUAAUCCACUGCUACCAAGAUAUACCGAUUUGAGAAUGAAGGGGGGAAAUGUCCCAUGAAGUCAAUUCCCCAAACAUCAAAUAUCUCCACUUCCAAAAUGUUGCUCAGUGGCAUUUCAUUCCUCCUCGAGAUAUUCCCAGUGCGUUGACAUCGGUCACACCUCUUAACAAACUCAAAUGUGUCUCUAAACAGUGUAGGCCAGUAGAAACCUGAUUGUAGAAUCUUUGCAGCUGUUUUUGAAGCCCUAAAGUGCCCUGCGUAAGCAGACGAAUGGCAGUGCUCGAGAAUCUCAUGUACUUCUUCCUCAGGUAUGCAUCUCCUUACUAUCUGAUCAGCCCCCCGCCUAUAGAGAAUUGGGUCCUCCCAAAAAUAAUACUUCAAUUCGGCGAAGAACUUUUUCCUUUGGUGACUCGAGUAGUCUGAUGGUGGGAUGGAACUGGCCAAGUAAUUGACGAUAUCUGCAUACCAAGGUGCUUCAUCUACUCUCAACGUUUGCUCAUCUGGGAAGAUCUCAUUGAUGUCCACUAAUUCAUCUGUCCCCCCAGGCUCCAAUCGGGAUAGGUGAUCCGCUACUACAUUCUCACUGCCCUUCUUGUCUCGUAUCUCGAUAUCGAAUUCUUGCAGCAAUAGCACCCAACGAAUCAACCUAGACUUUGCAUCAUUCUUUGUGAGUAGAUACUUUAAUGCAGCAUGAUCUGUGUAAACUAUAACUUUGGACCCGACAAGAUAUGACCUGAAUUUGUCGAAUGCAUAUACUAUAGCCAAUAGCUCCUUUUCAGUGGUGGCAUAGUUGAUUUGCGCUUCAUUAAGAGUCCUACUUGCAUAGUAAAUUACGUGAAAGAUUUUUUUUCUCCGUUGUCCUAAUACUGCACCCACGGCGUGAUCACCUGCAUCACACAUCAAUUCAAAAGGGAGUUCCCAGUCUGGUGCCUCAAUUAUUGGUGAUGUCGUAAGCUUCUCCUUUAAAGUGUUGAAUGCUGUGAGGCAUUCUUCAUUAAACUCAAAGGUGACGUCUUUCAUUAGCAGAUUGCAUAACGGUUUAGUGAUCUUCGAGAAAUCUUUUAUAAAUCUCCUGUAGAAACCCGUAUGUCCCAAGAAACUACGAACUCCUUUAACUGAUGUAGGUGGUGGUAACUUCUCAAUAACUUGAAUUUUUGCCUUGUCCACAUCAAUUCCUUUUGAUGAGAUUCGAUGCCCGAGUACAAUGCCUUCUUGCACCAUAAAGUGGCAUUUCUCCCAAUUUAAAACUAGGUUAGUCUCCUUGCAUCUCUGUAAGACCAAAUUCAGGUGCUCUAAACAUUCAUCGAAUGAAGAUCCAAACACUGAGAAGUCAUCCAUGAAAACUUCAAUAAACCUUUCAAUCAUAUCGGAGAAUAUUGCCAUCAUACACCUCUGAAAUGUGGCUGGGGAGUUACAAAGACCAAAAGGCAUCCUACAAUAAGCAAAAGUACCAUAGGGACAGGUGAAAGUGGUCUUCUCCUGAUCUUCUGGUGCGACAGGUAUCUGAUUAUAGCCCGAGUAUCCAUCCAGGAAACAGUAAUGUGAAUGUCCAGCCAAUCUUUCUAACAUCUGAUCGAUGAAUGGGAGGGAAAAAUGUUCCUUUCGUGUGGUUGCAUUGAGCUUGCGAUAGUCGAUGCAAACUCUCCAUCCCGUAACUGUUCUGGUGGGAAUUAAUUCAUUCUUCUCGUUUUUCACCACUGUGAUUCCCCCUUUUUUCGGUACCACUUGAACUGAGCUAAUCCAUGCACUAUCUGAAAUUGGGUAAAUAAUUCCUGCAUCCAGUAAUUUCAAUAUCUCUGCGCUGACCACUUCCUUCAUGUUCGAAUUUAAUCUUCUCUGACCCUCUAUACUUGGCUUGCAAUUUUCCUCCAUUAGAAUCUUAUGCAUGCACAGAGAAGGGCUAAUUCCUUUAAUGUCAGCUAUUGUCCACCCAAUCGCCGUCUUGUUCUCUCUGAGUACCAUGGCAGUUUUUCUUCCUCCACCUCACUGAGUGUAUUCGAAAUGAUUGUUGGAAGUAUAUCUGACUCCCCCAAAUAUGCAUAUCUGAGAUGUGGUGGUAAUUGCCUGAGUUCCAAAACUGGUGGCUGCUGAACAAAAGGUAGUGGCUUUGUGUUUCCCGUCCCCAGUUCCUCGAAGUGCCUCUUUCGGGUGUAUGGCGGGUUGGUCUCCAAAAAUCUUGCACAUGUUUCAACUUCAAAAGACUCUGACUGGACUGAUUGGGAUUGUGUAAUACAUGUCUCAUAGGCAUCAGAUGGACCGUGUAGUAAGAAUGUUUCUUGUACUGCCUUGUCAAUAACGUCAACUUGAUAACAGUUGUCAGAUUCUGCUGGUAGUUUCAUUGCCUUGAAUACAUUGAAUGAUAUAUGCUCCUCUCCCAAUCUUAAAAUCAACUGACCUCUUUGAACAUCAAUUAACGCUCUCCCUGUUGCCAGAAAUGGUCUGCCAAGUAUCAAUGGGACGUCCUUGUCCUCUUCCAUGUCCAGGAUAAGAAAAUUCGCUGGGAAUAUGAACUUCUCAACCUUGAUAAGCACAUCUUCAAUUAUUCCUCUGGGAUGUGUAAGUGACCUGUCAGCCAGCUGAAGUGUCACAGUGGUUGCUUUAGCUUCUCCCAAAUCGAGUUUCCUGAAAACAGACAAAGGCAUUAAAUUAAUACUUGCACCGAGGUCACAUAAUGCUUUAUCAAAAUAUACUUCACCGAUUGUGCAAGGAACAGUAAAACUCCCUGGAUCUUUUAGUUUUGGUGGAAGCUUCUUCUGGAUUCUGGCACUACAUUCCUCCGUAAGCAUAACUGUCUCAUAAUCUUCCAGCUUGCGUUUAUUUGAUAUGAUAUCCUUCAGAAAUUUCGCGUAGCUAGGCAUCUGGAACAGUGCAUCAGCUAGUGGGAUGUUGAUAUGGAGCUUUUUGAAGAUUUCUAGAAAAAAAUUUUAUUGUUGCUCCACUUUUUGCUUUUUCAAGCGCUGUGGAAAGGGAAUCGGAGGCUCGUAGGGGUUGACUGUGACUUUGGCCUUAUCCUGUGAUUCUUCUGAAUUUUCCUUUGAACUUGAUUCCUUUACAACAGUCUCUUCUUCAGCGGAGGAAGAUGUUUCUCCAAUCACACCCGAUCUCUUGACAUGGAUUUCAGGUAAUUGCAUCCCACUUCAAGUUGUAAUGGCCUUGGCUUGCUCUUUAGGAUUGAUUUCUGUAUUACUUGGUAAGUUACCUGGUGUUCUGCCAAUCAAUGCGAUGGCUAGCUGCCCCAUCUGAGCUUCCAAAUUUUUGAUGGCUGCAUUUUGAUUUUGAAGUGUAGCUUCGGCCUUCUCCAUGAAUUUUCCUAUCAUAUCUUCCAAUUGAGGCCUCUUCUCUUGUUGUUGAAAUUUUCCCCGUGGCUUAUUCUGAUUCUGGUUGCUCCAAGAGAAGUUGGGAUGCUUCUUCCAGCUGGGAUUGAAAGUCUCUCCAUAUUGAUUAUGUUGUUGGCAUUGUCCCCACUGUGUGUAAUCCGCUUGCUCAAUUCCUUGCAUAAGUAUUGGGCAAUCUGAUGUUUUGUGCUUGGCUCCACAUUCCUCACAAUUGCUCUUCUUAGCUUGUGAUGCUUGUGAUAUGCUUUCCACCUUGUGAUACAGAGAGUCAAUUUUUGCAGAUAUUGCUGAAUAAGCGUCCACCUCGUAGACACCUGGAGUUUUCUUUGGGAUCGCCCUCUUAGAAGACCAUAUGGCUGAUGUGGUAGCCAUUCGCUCAAAUAAUUCCAAUGCCCCAUCAACUGUUCUUGUGGAUAUUGUUAGGACCUUCCUCUUGCAGCUCACGGUGAUUUCUGGGCUCAGUUAACCAUUAAACAUCUAAUUCAACAUCAAAACCAAAGUCCCCAACUCGUCGGCGCUACCCUCUCCUAUGGUUGCUUUCUUCUCUUGCUUGGUUGAUUCAAUCCACACACUUAGGAUGGAUACCACUCAGGUAAGGUUCACAAAGACUCAAGCAAUUUGGGUGGAGAAGAAAUCACGAAGAAGAUGAAGGCAGAAGACACGGCUGGACACGACAGUUUCUCUUUUCUCACGGCUUCAACUUUUGGACGGGACCAACAAGGAUGAAAACACCAAUAUAUAUAGUAAGUCAAGUGGCCAACAUAAGGUAAGUAAGGAUAUGGUAAGUAGGCUCGAUUAGGGUUAACUUCCAAUGGAAAGAAUCAACAAGCCACAAAGAGUAUUAGCCGUCCAAUAGGUAAGGCAACGUUUGGUCGGUUCAUCCAUUAUUCGAUGUUGAAUUAUCGUUCAGUCAUUUAUGUCGACUGAUAAAAUUGGUUCUCAUCAUCGUCCGGGAGGUCGUUUGACAACAUAAUGUCUAACAACCUCCACCUUGGUGUCAAAGGGCCUGCAAAGAAAAACGUUUUUCCAUUAGUGACACCUCUAACAGAAAAACCGAUAAAAUUGAAAUCAUUUACCUGUACCGAUGUUUAGAAGCUCUUUGCAACUUCUAAACUUUACCAGUGGCAGCACUUUCGUGCCCAUAUCUGAAGGAUUGUACUGUGUGUGAAUUUUUUCAAGUCUUACUACUUCUUGUGAUAUUAUAUCCCUAAUGAAGUGUAACCUAACAUCGAUAUGUUUAGUGCGUUCGUGAAAGACAGGAUUNNNNNNNNNNNNNNNNNNNNNNNNNNNNNNNNNNNNNNNNNNNNNNNNNNNNNNNNNNNNNNNNNNNNNNNNNNNNNNNNNNNNNNNNNNNNNNNNNNNNNNNNNNNNNNNNNNNNNNNNNNNNNNNNNNNNNNNNNNNNNNNNNNNNNNNNNNNNNNNNNNNNNNNNNNNNNNNNNNNNNNNNNNNNNNNNNNNNNNNNNNNNNNNNNNNNNNNNNNNNNNNNNNNNNNNNNNNNNNNNNNNNNNNNNNNNNNNNNNNNNNNNNNNNNNNNNNNNNNNNNNNNNNNNNNNNNNNNNNNNNNNNNNNNNNNNNNNNNNNNNNNNNNNNNNNNNNNNNNNNNNNNNNNNNNNNNNNNNNNNNNNNNNNNNNNNNNNNNNNNNNNNNNNNNNNNNNNNNNNNNNNNNNNNNNNNNNNNNNNNNNNNNNNNNNNNNNNNNNNNNNNNNNNNNNNNNNNNNNNNNNNNNNNNNNNNNNNNNNNNNNNNNNNNNNNNNNNNNNNNNNNNNNNNNNNNNNNNNNNNNNNNNNNNNNNNNNNNNNNNNNNNNNNNNNNNNNNNNNNNNNNNNNNNNNNNNNNNNNNNNNNNNNNNNNNNNNNNNNNNNNNNNNNNNNNNNNNNNNNNNNNNNNNNNNNNNNNNNNNNNNNNNNNNNNNNNNNNNNNNNNNNNNNNNNNNNNNNNNNNNNNNNNNNNNNNNNNNNNNNNNNNNNNNNNNNNNNNNNNNNNNNNNNNNNNNNNNNNNNNNNNNNNNNNNNNNNNNNNNNNNNNNNNNNNNNNNNNNNNNNNNNNNNNNNNNNNNNNNNNNNNNNUUUGCUACUAACCUAGCCUUAAACCUUAAGGGUUCUGAACUACUAGUACCUUUUUUAACCUUAAAGAUCCACUUGCAAUCAACGAUUGAUUUAUUCUUAGGUCUCGGUACUAACUCCCAAGUUUGAUUCUUUUCUAGAGAACUCAUCUCUUCUUUCAUAGCCUCAAGCCACUCCUUAGAUUGACCACUGUUCAUAGCCUCUUCAAACGUUUCUGGCUCCCUAUCAACUAGUUCUUCGUAACUAGCGUAUGCAAAAUCCAAUUCAGAUUCAUAUCCGAAUCUCCUAGGUUCUCUCGUUUGUCUUCUCUCUCUAUCUCUAGCUAAGUUAUAGUUAGCUAGUGGAUUUUCUUCUUCAGGAUGCUCUUCUAUCACUACUUCAUUUUCCUCUUCAGGUUCUUGGACCUGAAUCUCCACCUCACUCGAAGUACUAGGUACUGAUGUGUUAAAUUUUCCUAACUCCACCUUAAACCGACUUCUUUCUUCACUUGAUUCAGUUUCACUUAUUGGUUCGGUUUCGUUCUUUAGACAAGGCAUCUCUUUCUCAUUAAAUGUGACAUCCCUACACACGAUGAUCUUAACUCCUUUUUGGCUUCUAUCCCAUAGCCUAUAUCCCUUAACCCCUUCGGGAUACCCUAGAAAGACACACUUCCUGGCUCUUGGUUCUAACUUUCCCUCACUUUGAUGAGAAAAAGCAUCACAGCCAAACGCUUUAAGUAUCGAGUAGUCACCCAAUCCUCACUUUGAUGAGAGAAAGCAGCACAGCCAAACGCUUUAAGCAUCGAGUAGUCACCCAAUUUUCCAGACCAUUUCUCAUGUGGAGUAUCACCAUUUAAUGCAGCUGAUGGAGUCAAAUUUAUUAGAUAACAGGCAGUGACAACGGCUUCACCCCAAAAUGACUUAGGAACCCCAAAACUUAACAUCAUGCAGCGCACUUUGUCUAGUAUGGUCCUAUUCAUUCUUUCUGCCACCCCGUUUUGUUGGGGAGUAUAAGGGACCGUUUUGUGCCUUGUUAUUCCACUUUCUUUACACAUCCUAUCGAAUUCAGUAUUACAGAAUUCUAGGCCGUUAUCUGUCCUUAAAAAUUUGAUCCUCUUGCUAGUUUGGUUUUCCAUUUGUUUCUUCCAAUUGUUAAAGUUAUGGAAGGUUUCAGUUUUGUCCUUCAAUAGAUAGACCCAUACUUUUCUGGUGUAGUCAUCUAUGAUAGAUAGGAAAUACCUAUUCCCACCCGAUGUGGGAUUACUAGCAGGAGCCCACAGAUCAGAAUGCACAUAUUCAAGUAUGCUUUUAGCCUUAUGCGUACUGGUGGAAAACGACACUCUAUGGUGCUUUCCAAGCACACAGUGAUCACAGAACGAUAGGUCAGACACACAGUCAUUACCAAAUGCACCUUUUUCAUUAAGUAGUUUAAGUCCUUUAAUGCUUACGUGUGCAAGCCUACUAUGCCACGUGUCUGUGUGAUCGAUUUUGGCGGAAGAAAUAGAGGAGUUUGAUCCUCUAAUUACUUCCCCAGUAGUGAUAUAAAUGUCGUUUUUCUUGAUUCCCUUAAUAGAGAUUAACGCACCCUUCAUCAUUUUAAACAUACUGUUUUCAAUUUUACCGGUGAAGUUGUCUUUCUCAAGUCUUCCUACUGAAAUUAAAUUCCUAGAUAAUUCCGGAAUAUAUCUAACUUCUUUUAACACGUACACAAAGCCUGUGUUAAAUUUUAUCUUUAUAUCUCCAAUUCCAGCAAUUGUAUAGGAGAAGUUAUCACACAGAACUACUUGUCCAUCAUUAGAUUCUUGCAAGUUUUCAAACCAGUUCUUUUCAGAUGUCACAAACAAGUUACCUGAAGACUGCGUCGCCGGAAAACCCCCCACGCGCCGCCUAUCCCAGAGCGCCUCGGCCUGCUGAUGAUGGGUAUGGCCUCCGUUUGUCCAACCGAGCUCUGGUUUGUGAGUAAUUGCAAAUUUUCAGACUCGGAUUCUAAGUUGAAAGUGCGAAAAUCAGCCGAUUUUGAGCCCUUUUUUUGCCACCCAAGCUCUGAUACCAGAUGUUAGGACCUUCCUCUUGCAGCUCACGGUGAUUUUCGGGCUCAGUUAACCAUUAAACAUCGAAUUCAACAUCAAAACCAAAGUCCCCAACUCGCCGGCGCUACCCUCUCCUAUGGUUGCUUUCUUCUCUUGCUUGGUUGAUUCAAUCCACACACUUAGGAUGGAUACCACUCAGGUAAGGUUCACAAAGACUCAAGCAAUUUGGGUGGAGAAGAAAUCACGAAGAAGAUGAAGGCAGAAGACACGGCUGGACACGACAGUUUCUCUUUUCUCACGGCUUCAACUUUUGGACGGGACCAACAAGGAUGAAAACACCAAUAUAUAUAGUAAGUCAAGUGGCCAACAUAAGGUAAGUAAGGAUAUGGUAAGUAGGCUCGAUUAGGGUUAACUUCCAAUGGAAAGAAUCAACAAGCCACAAAGAGUAUUAGCCGUCCAAUAGGUAAGGCAACGUCUGGUCGGUUAAUCCAUUAUUCGAUGUUGAAUUAUCGUUCAGUCAUUUAUGUCGACUGAUAAAAUUGGUUCUCAUCAUCGCCCGGGAGCUCGUUUGACAACAUAAUGUCUAACAGAUAUUGAGCCAUCUGAUGCUGAAUCCACCAUGCUCUUAUGGUGUGGAAGUAAUCCUGUGUAGAAAAAUCGAAUCUGGGUCUUUUUAUCGAACCCAUGCUGAGGGCAUUUUCGGAGCAUGUUUUUAAAUCUGUUCCAGGCUUCGUCAAAUGAUUCAUUCUCUCCUUGACUGAAUACUGAUAUAUUAUGUCUCAGCUUCACUAUCUUGGCUGGGGAGAAGAACUUUGUGCAGAAUUUGUUUGCCAGCUCAUUCCAUGUAGUGAUACUUGCAAUCGGGAGUGAAUCCAACCAUUCAAGUGCUCUGUCUCGUAACGUAUGUGGAAAAAGCCUUAAUCUGAUAGCGUCAUCUGAAAUCCCUUGGUAUCUGAAAUGUUGACACAUAUCUAGAAAUCGAGAUACGUGUGUGUGUGUGGAUUCUCCUCGGCUUUGCCAUAGAAUUGGUGUCCAUUUUGAAACAGCUGUAUUACAUUGGUCUUCAAUUGAAGGUUGGGCUGCCCAAAUGGUGGAUAUACAAUGUUGGAUUGGCUUUGAAUAACUUGAGGAGUCAAUAAGUCCCCCAGAAUUUCGUUUCCUUCAUCCACUGCCUCUCCUUCGUUAGCUUGAAUAAUAGGAUUGUUUAAUUCGUUGGCCAUUUGUACUUGUGCUUCGCGGUGAUCUCUUUGUCGUCGAUGAAAGGUGCGCUCAAUUUCAGGAUCAACUGGAAUCAAUUCUCCUCCAGACAAUCGUGACAUGCAAAUCUGAGAAUUAAAACCAGUACGAGCACUGAGAUUCAAACAAUUUAAAUAACUAAAACACAAAUAAAGGAUAAUAACCCUAAAUGAAAAUAAAAAAAAAUAAAAACAAAAUUAUGCUAGCAAAAUAAAAAUUGAGUUCGAAUUAGUGCCUCGAGAAAUAAAAUUAAACUAAACUCAAUCCCCGGCAACGGCGCCAAAAACUUGUUCGCCAAAUUAUUUUCUUUCGAUUUAAAAUCACCGCAAGUAUACGGUACGUUAACAAGUAAUAAAGUGGAUUCAAUGAGUCCGAAUAUCGUCCCACAGAGAUUGAUUAGUUCAAAUUUUAUCUACCUUAGCCUUAACCGAAACUAAAUUACCAAAGUGGAUGUAAACCUAAUUGAACCUUAAUUAUGCAAUUUUUUUUUUGAUUAAAUUGAAAUUAAUAUGCAAAACAAUAAAUUAAACUCGAGAAUGAAAUCUAAAAGUUGAGAACGCACUUGUUAUAAUUAUUAGGAAUGAAAUACACUAGGAUCACUAAUUCCCAUGCAAUUAUCACUUUAAAUCCUAGUUUCACAAUAUGACAACAUAUUUCGAUUUUGACGAAUCAAUGUUCCUAAAUCUAUCCAAUACUCUCUCUCGAGAUGUAUCAAACCUAUCUCUACAUACCACCGGUCUAUAUUUCUAUGACAAGAGCAUAUGUAAAAAUGCAUGCAAUUUUAUGAACAUUUAAAGAUUCACAUAGAGCAUAGCAGUAUAUUUCUAUCCACUAUCGGACCCUACGAAGAUUUAUACUAUGUCAAAUCUAUUCCAAUUCUCUCGAAUGCAAGAAUAAAUCACUUAAAUUCACACAAUUACGAGCCCUUAAUUGCGGAAACAUUUAAUUGCAUAUAAAUCAUUCAACAUAAUAGAAAUUAUGUCUUACAUCAAAUUGCAAAACUAGAAUAUUAAAAUUCAAAUCACAUGGUUCAUCGAUCUUCUAGCAUAAAUAGAAUCUAGCCUAGCAUGCUCAAAAUAACAAAAUACAUCAAAGUUUGUAUACAAGACAUCACCGGGUUAUAAAACUUGAAUAAAUCUUGAAGUUUUUCGUGUCAAUCUUUGUUCUUGCGCUCAAAUCCUCUUCAAGAAUUGUUUUUCGGCCUCCAAUUACGUUCUGGGCGUCUCUGAAAUGUUUUUGAUAUUUAUAUCCCGUGGAAAAUUAGGUUACCAUAGGUAUUUCAAUCGUAUAAGGAAAGAAAAUUUUCGCGCUGAAUUUGUACCAUGCGACCGCACGGUUUUAAUCCGUGCGGCCGCAUGGUUAUCCUCUUUUUCAUUCUUAAUCCCUGCAUCAUUUUGUGCGGCCGCACGACGUUUCUACCAUGCGACCGCAUGGUAGAAUUGAUCUUUUAGUUCCUACAAUUUGGUCCCUUCACUUUAAUCUUCUACUUUUUUACAUCUUUUCUUCAUUCUUCACAUUCCAUCAUCCCAAAAUGUCAUCAAUUCGUAUUUGGCAAACUCAAUUUCUUGAUUUGUUCAUCAGGUCAACUUUUGAGUAAUUGCACCUUGGUCCUUGAAUUUUCACUUUGUGUCAUUUUAGUCCUUUUUCGCAUCUUUUCUCAUGUAUUUCACCAUAUCCAUCGGUGUUAACUACAAUUCACAAAUGUAAUGAAAUUAAGUCACAAUUCAGUCAUUUUAUUUGUAAUGAAGUCAUGUUUGUGACCUAAAUAAGUGUGCAAAAAUACACUUAUCGGCAUACAUCUCACUUUUUCCAAUAAGUAUCUAUUCAUUCUCUCAGCAACACCAUUUUGUUGAGGAAUGUAUGUUAGAGUUCUGUGUCUUAAGAUUCCAUAAUCUUUACAAAACAGGUCAAAUUCAGAGUUGCAAAACUCAAGACCAUUAUUAGUCCUUAAAGCCUUGAUUUUCUUAUUUGUUUGGUUUUCGAUCAUUAAUUUCCAAUGUUUAAAGGUUUGAAAAGUAUCAGAUUUUUGUUUUAGAAGAAAAGUCCAAAUUUUUCUUGAAAACUCAUUUACUAUUAGUAGAUGGAAUCUAAAUCCACUCAAAGUAUUUACAGAUGCUGGUUCCCAAAGAUCAGCAUGUAAAUAUUCUAAUAUAGAAGUAGAUUUAUGAAUACUAGUUUUGAAAGGCAACUUUUUCUGUUUUCCAAAUACACAAUUUUCACAAAAAUCCAAACCCUUAACAUUGUUCGUACCCAAACAUCCAAGUUUAUUUAAGAUUAUUAGUCCCUUUUCUGAGAUGUGGCCAAGUCUUUUAUGCCAAAUUAAAGACUUAUUGGAAUCAGAGUUUAAGGCUGUAGAACAGUGAUCUAUCACAAAUUGAGCACAUACAGUAUAUAUGCCAUUGAUCUUUUGAGAGGAAAUGAUAGUUUUAUUUUCCUUACAUAAGUGUUAAAAAACCUUUAUGAAUCAUAAUGUUGUAUUUAUCAUCUAGCUUACCCAAGGAAAUAAGGUUUCUUUUUAACUCUGGGACAUAUAUGGUGUUCUCAAGUUCUAGGGUACAAUUGUUAUUUAAUGAGAGUUUGACCUUCCCAAUCCCCUUAAUUGGAUAACUCAUGUCAUUUUCCAUUUGAAUUUGUCCUCCAUUUAGGUCAACAAAUUCAGAAAAACAUUCUUUUGUGGGACACAUGUGAAAGGUGCAGCCAGAGUCAAGAACCCAUUCAUUUGGGUCUCUUCUGGUGGUUGUUACUAAAGCAACCCCUUGAAUAUCAGAUUCAUCUCUAAGGCUACAGCUGCAGAUCCCUCAGUAUUAGUAUUCUCUUUCAUAUCUGAGAUUUUCUUGAAGCAGUCUUUUAUUACAUGGCCAGUUUUACCACAGUAAUAACAUUUCCUGAUCUGGUUUUUAGUUUUCCAUUGAUUUUUAUUCUUUCUCUUAGAUCUGGAGAAUUGAGUUUUCCCUUUCUUAUUUAAAUUUUGAUUUAAGGGAUAUUGUUUCUUAUUUUGGUUCUGUUUCUCCUUUAUGAAUAACCCCUCACCAUACCUAGAGUCUUUAGACUCAGAUUUUAUUUCAAGUUCUCUAUUUCUCAGGGCUGAGGUUAUUCUAUUAAUGAUAAGUUCUUGCCCCCCAUAUUCUAAUGCAUUUCUAAUGUCUCUAUACUUAUCACUUAGUGAAUUUAACAAUGCCACAGCUUGUUGAUCAUCAGAGAUUUCUUCAUCACAGUUAGUCAAGUCCUGAAUCAGUUUUGUGAAUCUGUCAAGGUUAUCUUCCAGAUUUGAGGUAGGAUCAAAUCUGAAAUUAUAGAAUUGCCUUAGAAGGUAGCAUUUAUUAGGCAUAGUUCUAGUUAGAUAUAAUGUUCCUAACUUAGUCCAAAGAGCCUGAGCAGAAGUAGUUUCUCCAACUUUCCUAAUUACACUAUCAGAUAAGAGCAAGAAAAUUGUGCUUCAUGCAAUAUCAUCUAACUCCUGUCUCCUAUAGGCACUAGUUUCUGUAGGCCAGUUACCAUCAAUGGCUGCAGCAUAUCUCUGCUGCAGCAAUAAUGCCCUCAGUUUUUGGCACUAGAGACUGAAGUCUCCAGUACUGUUCCAUCUCUCAACUUCAAAUUUUUGAGACGUGGACAUGAUGACAGAUAUGUACACACAAAAUUUAUACAGCACACGGUGUAUAUUAAUUCAGGUAUUUUAUUUGAAUUGAUAGAAAAUGUGACAGAAUGAAUAAGGCAGAAAAUAUAAUUGUAUCUUCCUAUCAUGCAAUAUACAAUUCAAUUCAAAAGAACAGGAACUGAAAGUCAAUCUAAGAGUGGUCUAAGGAGUGAUAAUCCUUGCAACCCACUACUUCCUCAGAUUCCCAGAUCCUCGCAGGAGAUCUUGGACAAAGGUAACCAGUGGAAGAUUACUUACCUUAAUGACCAAAAAACUCUAAACAUAUUACAAUUUCAGUUUAAUAAAGGGAGUUCUAGAAAAUACUAGAGUCUAAAACUUAAUAUUUUAGAAUAUAGGAAACAGUAAGGAAGUGUCAGAACCGGAAUAAGAGGAGCAAUGCAAGUUCAAGAAGCCAACGAGUCACCAGAACUCAGUGUGAACUCAGUAGUGAGUUAAGAACUCACCACAAACCGGACCGAGUCAACUAAACUCGCACAACCCAGUACAAAAACAACAGAUCAAACAGAGUUAGAAUCGAGUUAGAACGAGUUAAAACGAGUCAUAAAGAAAAUUAAAAUUUCAGCUUUCAAGAACCAAAAAAGACGAUUUUCAGAAAAAACCAGAUCUAAGAUCCCCAAGAAUCCUUUUGUAAAUAUUGUUCGAAAAUUUCUUUUCAGAAAAUAGUGGCUUUGAUACCACUUGUUAAGUCGAAGGAUCGUUAAGUCUCAAAAAUGGAUCGCUUUGCAGUAAAAAAUAGAUUUGCAGAAAAUUAAAAAAUCGAACGCGAAGAUAUGUUUCGUCCUAAAAAGGGCCCGGAUGUUCGAUCUUGCGACCUAAUCAUCCGUUAAGCAUCACCAAAAGGUAAUAAAGCUCAAGAUCCACUAAGUAUCAACCAAGAACAGUACACCAUGUACGAAGAAACCAAAGGUUUCUUCGAAUAUUCUUUCGCAUCUAUUCAAAACUAUAAUCCAACUCACUCUCAAUCGCUAACAGACUGUACAACACAAUCAGAAACCAUCACUAAGAUUACAGAUUGAUAAAUCACCAAGAACAUAUCGAAUUUCAGUAACCCAAGAACCCUAAUCUAUCACUCAGAGAAAAGGAGAGAGAGAGAGAGACGAAAGGUUGAAAAGACUUCGAAUCAUCUAGAAUCGGGGCCAAAACCAAGUAAGUAUCUGAUCAGUCAACCAUCAAAGGGUGAGAAUGAAGCCACGUGUACGGCUGAACCUCAACCAUUUAAGAGGCAAAGGCGUGUUUAUUUAAAACACGAUUUACAACCCAAACUUAAUUCCAAACAGACCAAACCCACAAGUCUCAAUUUGGGCCAGCAAGAAAUGGUGAGGCAACCUAACUAAUAUAACACUGAUAAACAAGGAUAAAUUUAACUUAUUUUUGUUUCUAAACAAGGUGAGUUGCUACAAAAUUCACCUUAGCAAAUGAACUAACUAACAUGUUUCUGUCCAAUCUAAACUCAUAUUUAAGGGUGGACAAAAUGUCCAAACCAGACCAAAUCAAACUAGAACCAAACCAAGCGGUUUGGUUCGGUUCUAUCCAAAAAAUUGAUGAUUUUGGUUCUGUGAAUCGAGAACCAUUUGGUUUUGGUUCUGGUUCAGUUCUAGUUCAAAAAUCAGAACCAGAACCAGAACCAAACUUAAUAUUUAAUUUUAUAUAUAAUAAUUAGUGGAGACCCUAAUUUUUUAUUCAUUGAAGAUAGCCUAUUAAUUGAAUACAGUUUAUUAAUCAAUUUUGGGUUAUUAGAGAUAAACAACUCAUUAGUUGUCUACACUCUAAUUUUGUAUUCAGUUGAAUUAUUUCUCUUCACUCAUUUUCAAAUUACAUAACGUCGCAGCAUACUGAUACCGCAUUUUAUCAAAUCAGUGGAGUGUCAUUUAAGAUCGAAAAAUGAAAAUGAUCAAUUACUUAAAAAGUUUCUAAACUCUUUUUUUACCUUGAUUGUUUGAUGAGUUAUUUGUAUUCUUCACAAAUAGAGGAAAACCACAUUCAUGAAAUAUUAAACGGUUAAUGUUACCUGUAGAAGUGGACUGUAAAAAUUUUGAUAAUUCAUUCUUUAUUGUAGGGGUGUGCCUUCAAAACUACUGCAAUUAAUUUAGUGAAUAUUUGCUAUUACUUAUUAAACAAAUUUUUGUAUGAAAACGAAAACUGAUUUGUGUAUUCAAAUUAUGAAUAUAUUUUAUUUUUUAGUUAUGACUUUUUUUUUAUCUCGAUGAUUGAAAUUUGAACUUCCUAAAUGUUAUUUUCUUAUUUAGGUAUACAUUACUAAUUUAUAUGAAGUAAGAACUGAAAUUAGAACCAAACCAAACCAGAACCGAACGGUUCGGUUUAGUUUGGUUUCAUAUCUUUAAAAAAAUCAUUUGGUUCCAUUAUAAAAAAAAAAUCAUUGGUUCAUGGUUCGGUUCGAUUCUCUUGAAACCAGAACAAUAUGGAAACACGUCCACCCCUACUCAUAUUCGUUCACUGUGAACUCAAGAAUGCAUUGGAUAAAACAUGCUACAAAAUCAACCUUGAACGUGGUGUAGCCAUUGUAGGGAUUGAACAAAUACGAUAUUAAAUGGUCCCAACUCUGACUAAGAACACUGAAUGUCAAAAGUAUCAAAUUCACUGAAUAGAUCGAAACUAUCACAUUAAGAAAAUUGACAAUUAAACAUGUUGCAUUCAAGUGAAGAAGAAUUGUAGUCAUGUUUUUGAUAUGUGGAGUGGUAAUGAGGGGAGAAAAACCACAGAAUGGGGUUAACAGAGAGAGAGAUGUGACCAGCUUUGUGUGGAAAGGUUAUCCAGUUGCCACCAGUGCCAUAGUUUUGAAUGUAAUUCUUGAGGAUUGCAUCUUCUUCUUGAGACCAAAGCCCAGUAAUUUUCGUUUGUAGACUUUUAGUCCCUUUAGCUUCUUGACUUUGCAAGACCUUUAGAUUUACAGUUAUAUUUUUGCCUUAAGAGUCUGUUUGGGAGUGAUUUUGAGAAUUGAUUUUUUGACCGUUAGAAAAAAAAAAAAAAAAAAGUGGGGUCCACCUGUGAGAGAAGAAGUCAAAUAUGACAGUUGGAAUAGUGAAAUAACGGUCAAAAAAUCAAUUUUUUGGAGGAAAAAUCGCUCCCAAACAGGCCUUAAAUCUUCUAGGUUAAGAUUGGUGAAAUGGUCAAUAUGUAGUAAUUGAUCAUUUCAAUAGGAUAUAUAUAUAUAUAUAUAUAGACACACGCGCGUCAUGUGUGCAUGUGAUAUGUUUGAUGGAUUUUUAGUUGGCACAAUUUCAUUGGAUAUUGAAAAAAAAAAACAACUUCAAAUCAAUCAACACAGUGUUGUCACCUUGUCAUCUGUAAAAAUCCGUAUAAAUACAAUUGUACAAGGAGCUUAAUUCUAAUUUUUUCUUGUUUGAUAGCUAUGUUCUUCGCAACCGACUCAAAGUCAUAUAACGAUAGUUAAGUUCGGCAGAAUUAUGUCACUUGUUCUUUUUAAGCAUAUGAAUUAAUGAACAUUGCCAAACAUGGCUUCAAGCCAUGCAGAAGACCAACUUCUUUUUGCCCUUUUCAAUUACAAAAAAGGGGAGGCUGCGAAUUUUUACAAAGCAGAAGACAGUGAAACAUCGUCGAUACUACAACUCUUUGGAUAAGCUGAUUAAAAAAUUUACUUGUAUAUAAAAUAAGUAAAAAGUAAAUAAUAUUUUCUUUGGAAAAAGAAGAGAAAUAUUCGGAAAUAAAUCUUAUCUUGCUAUUAGAAUAAAUAAGUCUCUCAAAUAAGAAAAAAAAAUGUAAUUGAGAAUGCUUAUAAACAAAAUAUCAACUAACUUUUAGCUUAGCCAAAAUAUUCUGUAGAGAACAAGAAGAAAAUAAAUUGAGAGAAUCCUUUGUGAUAAUUUCUGAGAGAGACAUUAUAUUCGGUUGUGAAUUGGCCAUUGACUAGAAAGUAUGAAACAAGAAAUGGUGAUCACACCCUCACUUUCUUGUCCAUCUUAAAAUGAAAACAAAAACCAAUAGUUAUAACAAUGUGGGUUGUAUAAAAAUUCAUUAUUUAGCCUCGUCAAUUUCUUCUUUUUUGUCGUUCGUUUGGAUACUACGUUUUUAGGGACCCAAAAUAUUGAAGUCAUCGAAUAAAUAGAUCAGAAGUAAAUGAAACUAUCACUCCACAAGUAUCUACUGUUUCAAAGUUCCAUGUAAAUAUUGAUUAUAAUGUGUUCUAAUUUCUUACGUGCCGUGCCACAUUGAGUAUAUUGGAAAACAUGUAUAAAGGCCAUAAGCAACAAGUAUUUUUUGGUGGGACCGACUAGCCCCAUCCAGGCAUCGGACUUGUCGUGACUCGAGUAGCCCCGACUCAAUUUGACACCACUAUUAAUUUUCAUCUUAAAUAUUCAUGCACAUUGUACACAAAGGCUAAAAUAAAUAAUGUGAAAGUUCAAUUCAUUUGUAUCAAAUGUUUACAUAUAUAUGUUGUAUCAAUAAACAAUCCCUUAUCAUAUCAACUAACAUAUAUAUAUAAAGACAUCUCCUGAUGAUUUCAAUAUAAAUUAGGAACCCCUUCAUUGGCUGCCUCUUGGGACCAAAUUUCAUCCAGAAUUUCAUAAGAACGUCGAUAGCCGAUAUUAUCCAUUGGAAUCCCGUUGCUGCAACUGCCAUUGCCAAAGAUGAAAUCAUUUCCAAGCUGUGAAAAUGUUUCAGAAAUGGUUGAAUCUUGUUGGGAAGAUGAAGAAAAGCUCGGGUUUUUAGUACUCUCAGUUAAACAAGGACUUAUAGGAGAUGUCUCUUGACCUGAAAAUGUGGGAACCAAAGUGUUAGUGGUUGAAGAUGAGAGGUCGGUUUUCGCUUUCGCAGCGGUGGUGUCGAUACUAUUUGUGGGGUUAUAACCAUAAUUUGCUGCUAUUGGCUUCUUCUUUAACUUGCUGUUCCAGUAGUUUUUCACAUCGUUGUCUGUUCUUCCGGGUAGAUGAGAUGCUAUGACAGACCAUCUAUGAAUUAAACAUAAAAAUGUUAAUAAAUAAAAAAUUAAGAGGAAAAAAAUCAUAAUUAACAUUGAACUUGCUUGCUUCCCAAGACACCAUAGAGAGUGUAUAUGAUAUUGUCUUCCUCCGGUGUAAAAGCUUCAUGUGUGAUAUCCGGUCGAAGGUAAUUAAGCCACCGGAGACGACAGCUCUUGCCACAACGGUUAAGACCUGAUAAACAAGGAUAAAUUUAACUUAUUUUUGUUUCUAAACAAGGUGAGUUGCUACAAAAUUCACCUUAGCAAAUGAACUAACUAACAUGUUUCUGUCCAAUCUAAACUCAUAUUCGUUUACUGUGUAAUCAAGCAUGCAUUGGAUAAAACAUGCUACAAAAUCAACCUUGAACGUGGUGUAGCCAUUGUUGGGAUUGAACAAAUACCAUAUUAAAUGGUCCCAACUCUGACUAUGAACACUGAAUGUCAAAAGUGUCAAAUUUACUGAAUAGAUUGAAAAUAUCACAUUAGAAAAUUUGACAUUUAAACAUGUUGCAUUCAAGUGAAGAAGAAUCGUAGUCAUGUUUUUUAUAGGUGGAGUGCUAAUGAGGGGGAAAAAACCCCACAGAAUGGGGUUAACAGAGAGAGAGAGAGAGAUGUGACCAGCUUUGUGUGGAAAGGUUAUCCAGUUGCCACCAGUGCCAUAGUUUUGAAUGUAAUUCUUGAGGAUUGCAUCUUCUUCUGGAGACCAAAGCCCCUUUCUCACUUUAGUCUUAUCACAGCAAGGAGUUUUUACCAUGGUUGGCCUAUCUUCCUACAAUAGAGAGAGAAACAGAGUGUGUGCGUUUGUGUGAGGGAAGAAGAUUAAUAGACGUGCAAGUACCAAGUAAUUUUCCUUUGUAGACUUUUAGUCCCUUUAGCUUGCUUGACUUUACAAGACCUUUCGAUUUACAGUUCUAUUUUUGCCUUAAAUCUUCUAGGUUAAGAUUCGUGAAAUGGUCAAUAUGUAGUAAUUGAUCAUUUCAACAGCACUUGUGGAAAAUAAUUGGUGUGUAUAUAUAGACACAUGCGUAUCAUGUGUGCAUGUGAUAUGUCACCCAAAUUUUAUUCGUAUUUUACAUAUUAUAACAUUAAUUAAUUUUUUCAAUCAUACAAUAUGUAUAGGAAUUUUUGCCCGACAGUUUGAUGGAUUUCCAGUUGGCACAAUUUCAUUGGAUGUUGAACAAAAAGCAACUUCAAAUCAAACUAUCCAGUGUUGUCACCUCGUCAUCUGUAAAAAUUCGUAUAAAUGCAAUUGUGCGAGGAGCUUAAUUCUAAUUUUUCUUGUUUGAUAGCUAUGUUCUUCGCACCCGACUCAAAGUCAUAUAAUGAUAGUUAAGUUCGGCAGAAUUAUGUCCCUUGUUCUUUUUAAGCAUAUGAGUUAAUGAAGGAUAACAAAACGUUUCUACCUUUCAAGUUUAUUGUGGAAAAAGUCCCUACCUUUUAUUUUUUUGCAUUUUCGUUCUUACCUUCUACAUUUUUUUGUGCUGAACGUUCUUUUCACUUAUUUUUAAUGUAAAAUGACCAAAAUACACUCUCAUUUAAAUAAGACCAAAAAUAAAUAAAUAAAAAUUACAAUCUUACUCCUAAAUAUUUUAAAAAGUGCAAGUGAGUCAAAAUAAUUAUUAAAAAGCAUAUUAGCACAAAAAGUCCCUACGUUUGGCCUAUAGUGUACAAAACAUCCAUAUGUUUCAAAUUGGUGAAAAGAAGUUUUUCGCAAUGAAACGUGCAAAUAGGGAUGAAAACGCAAAAAAAUUGAAAUGUAUGGACGUUUUCUGCAGGAAGUGUCAAACGUAAAGAUUUUUUUGAUUAUUAGGCCUUAUUAAAAUAUUAAAAAUAACAAAUAAAACUCACUCUCUUUUCUUCUUCUCCAAAUGGGACUGCCACAUUAGAAGUGAAAAAACUUCAACCAACCAUCGCUUAAACUGUCGAACCUCCAUACCAUUGAACCAUCUAGUGAUAUUUUAAGAUCAUGAAAAGAGGCGCCCUAGUGAGUAUAAUCGAUUGGUGUGUUGAAAAUGGUAUGGGUCUCUUCGGAAUAGGCGAUGUCGCUAGUAUUUGCAUUCGCGAGUUAGGUAUUUUGGCUUGCAAUUCCGAACAAAUCUAUUGACUUGAAGGUUUCAAGGUUAGAUGUUGAGUGGUAUGUGUAGAGAUAAGAGAGGGUUUUUCGGUGAUAUGGUGGUCCAGCAAUUUGCGUGGUGGUUUGCUGGAAUUUUUUGGCUUCUAAGGUGACUAACCCAUUUGGAGAAGAGGAGAAAGAGAGUUUUUUUUUUAAAUAUUUUAAUAAGGCCUAAUAUCAAAAAAUUCCCUACGCUUGACACUUCUUGCAGAAAACAUCCCUACAUUUCAAUUUUUUUGCGUCUUCAUCCCUAUUUUUACCUUUCAUUGUGAAAAACGUCAUUUUCACCAAUUUGAAACGUAUGGACAUUUUGCACAUUAUAGGCCAAAUUUAGGGACGUUUUGUGCUAUUAGACCUUUUAAUAAUUAUUUGGACUCACUUGCACUUUUUAAAAUAUUUAGGAGUAAGAUUUAUAAUUUGUUUUUUAUUUUCCUUUUCUUUUUUUAUUUAAAUAGGAGUGUAUUUUGGUCAUUUUACGUUAAAAAUUGGUGAAAAUGACAUUCAACGAACAAAAAAUUGGAAGGUGAGGGCAAAAAUGUCAAAAAUGAAAUGUAGGGACUUUUUCACAAUAAACUUGGAAAGUAGGGAUGUUUCGUGCCAAUUACCCAUUACAGAAAAUACUUUUUAACAUUUUUUUCCUUGUUGCAACACUAUCAUAUAUUAUUCAAUUUAGCUUGCCAAUCAUGUCCUAUAUUUUUUAUUAUUUAUUUAUUUAUUUAUUUUAUGACAGUGGGUAUUCGGGCCAGUUUACGCGUAUCUCAACUAAUCCCACGACGUCCUGAAAUUUACAAUCGGGUACUUACCUCAAUGGCGGAUUUUAUUCCACGUAUUUUAAAUAUGUUUUAAUAAAUAUUUCAAGGAAAAUAUUUAAGCUCCUAGUUAGUGGGUAAAAUUAGAUUUUUAGUUAAUUUUAAUAAAAAUUGAUGAAAUGUGGGGCUGAAAAGUUAUAGAUCCUAUGAAAUAGUGGUUAAAAUUAAUUGUUGAUUUUGAUUUAAAUUAAAAUCUAAAUUUUAAUUCCUACCAAGCAAAGACUUAAUAUUUUUUCAGCAAUAGAGUUUGCAACUAACAACGUCUCUAUGUUUUUUAGAAUAAAAUUUUAGCAUAAUUAAAUACAAAAUAUAUAAUAUUAACAGGGCGAGAACUCACUCAGAGAUAUUUUAAGAUUUGCAAAUUACAAUGGGAUUUUGUUGAGGGAGAUUUUCCCUUGCAAAUUAUUUCAAUGAUGUCUUGGAGAAAAGCUUAGAAACGAAAUCUGUAACAAAUUUUUGAACAGAAUUGUAAUAAUUUUCUAUUAUUUAUUAAGAUCAACUUUAAUUCUUUUCCUAUUUCGUUGCAAAUUGGCUACACAGUUUAGCAGCUCAAUAGAGAAAACUAAAUUCUAAUGACUCAAUUGAACUUUCAUUAGAAGUUCACUGACCACAGAAGAAAUUAAUCGUAAACAUUUUCAUCUGGAAAAAUAAUAAUAAUUAAUAAUAAUAAUAAUCAUGAUAUUAAUAAUCUAUAUCUUAUUGUUUGAGACCAUUCAUGGUAAAUAGGGUACGUAGUGAAAAAUGAUCUUACAAAGUGAUUGUUACUUUAAAGGUCUAAUGUUGUAUAAUGUUUUUUUUAAGUAAAUUUACAGUAAAUGAUGUUUUUAUUUUUACCUUCAUAGUCGUAAAAGGUUGGAUUAUGAAAUUGCGAAACAUAAUUUUUUGAAUUGGAUCAAGACUUCCAAUUAAAUAAGUAUGAGUAAAGGAUCAACACUGAAUUGAAUAAAAAUUAACUAUUCGAGUCAGGUCAAAUUGAUCCUCAACACAAAAAGAAGAAGAAAAAAAUUAUGCAAAAAUGUAGAUAAAAAUAUUGAAGAAUGGCAUUCUUAUUUAUAUUUAGCCUGAGUGGUGAAAAUUAAAAUUAAUAUUGUAAUCUAAGUCAAAUUUAAUAAUUAAUUUUAAUUACAUACUUCAUAGUAUCCACAACUUUUCAACCACAAAUUUUAUUAAUUUUUAUCAAAAUAUAUUAAAAGUUUAAUUUUAAUCAUAGUCAAGUAGGAGGAGUAUAAACUCAACCAAAUGAAUUGAUGGCUUUUAUUGGUUUAGAAUAAAAAAAUUGCCAAACAAGUCCCAAGAAUUCUCCCAUUACACUUGUCGUGGUAAAAAAUUGACAAACAAGAAAAGAAAAUUUACACAAAUUGCAAGAAAAAUUCUUUUGUUUUGUUUUUGUUUUUGUUUUUGUUUUUUUUUUUUUUUUGGUUUUUGUAAGAAUUGCAUUGCCAACAUGUUGCAUUGAUAAUCGUUUUUUUUUUAAUUUAUGGAAACAUAUUGCGUAAAUCUAAAAUAGAAAAAAAAAAAAAAGAAUUGUUGAAGUUUAAUCUUUCGCUCCAAUAACGGGCUGGUUUUAAAUUUUUAAAUCUUUUAACAAUGAGCAAUUUGAUUUCAGAAUUUUAAAAACUGAGUAAAUCAAAAUCUUGAUAAUAAAAUUCAUUCAAUAUUUAUUAGAUUGACAUGUUGUUUUUAUUGAAACACGUAGCGUUUUAAAUUUUUAAGAAUCGACUCAACUUCAAAAUCAUAAUCUAACUUUGACCAUGUGUUGACCUCCAUGUUCGAAAAUUCAUUUUCAUUCAAACAUUAUAUUUAUUUUUCACUUUUUAUUCUUUUUGUAAUUUAAUUAUCCAUGCAAGAUUUCGGAAUUCCUCUCUCACUUGGUAUUUAUUCCUAUAGUUCGUCCCACAUCUGCAAACGGCGCCAAUGUUCGAAUAUUUUCUUGUCAUUUCCCUUCCUCUCUCAUUUUCUUAAAAAAUAAAAAUAAAAAAUAAUGAAAAGAAUUGAUGAACACUAAGUCGAAAUAAAUAAUUGAUCCGAUGGAACAUUUUCUUCUACCAUAAAUUGGAACUCACAACCUUUAUCAAUUAUACGUUUCAUCAAAUUUUAUCAAAAUUUACUAAAAAAUAGAUUUUUAGCUAAACCAAAUAGGUGCAAACUUUACAUUGGAUAUUCGUGGAUUAUUUGAUAGAUUAACGAAAAUUGAUUCUUUAAAUACAAUGAAAGAUUAAGAACUAAGUUAAUCGUUUUUUUAUAAGUUGGAAAACAAUUUGUUGCUAGAACAAUGAGUCUAGUCAGAUUUUGGCAUCAUUUUGAACACAUUUCACUUGAGGUGGGUUAUCCUUAGACCAUUGGAGCUCGACCUUCAAACUUGACAUCUCGGACUUCGUCAAUCUUCGAUGAGUUUGGCACUUUGGUGUUGUCUUUUUUGUUGCUUUAGCCGACCGUAUGGCAUAAACUCGACCGAUUGGCUUAAUUGUUGACUUUAAUAAUCACGUCAAUUCGAUCAAUCUCAAAAUAUUGCAUCAAUUUUAAGUUCAACCUAUGGGGGCCUAAGAAUGAUAAGUGGCACCUACUUGAUCAUUACAAUCAAACUAGUUGCAAUCAACACUAUAUAAUAUUAUAUAUAAAUCUAGUACUAUAUAUUUAAUUUUAUAACUACUUGCAAGUUGUACCAAACAAAUUUGUUUAUACCACUAUAGAAAUUGAAUAGACACGUACAAUAGAAUCAAACUAGAUUGAUCCGUUUCACAAAAAGAGAUUUUUAUUCUAGUUUGUUGGUAAAGCCCUACACUUUAUUAUUUUAUGUGGGUUUAAAGAAGGAAAAAUUGCAGCAGAAGUCCCAAACUUUUGAAGCAUUAGCAGACUUUCCCAAAAUCUUUUAUUUGUUGCAGCCGUUACCCUUAAUAUUUUCAAAAGUUGCAAAUGAGGCCCCUUUGGACGGUUUUCGUCAAAAAUUCCGUUAGUUGACCGAAAAUUUGAACUUUGGUCACAUUUUAAUCAAUUAUAAAGGGACAAAAUUGUAACUUUAUAUUUACAACAUUAAACAAUUAAAAAAACAUAAAUCAAAAACAACAAAAAAGGAAAAGAAAAGAAAAGAAAAAUGGAUCUUGCACCCCANNNNNNNNNNNNNNNNNNNNNNNNNNNNNNNNNNNNNNNNNNNNNNNNNNNNNNNNNNNNNNNNNNNNNNNNNNNNNNNNNNNNNNNNNNNNNNNNNNNNNNNNNNNNNNNNNNNNNNNNNNNNNNNNNNNNNNNNNNNNNNNNNNNNNNNNNNNNNNNNNNNNNNNNNNNNNNNNNNNNNNNNNNNNNNNNNNNNNNNNNNNNNNNNNNNNNNNNNNNNNNNNNNNNNNNNNNNNNNNNNNNNNNNNNNNNNNNNNNNNNNNNNNNNNNNNNNNNNNNNNNNNNNNNNNNNNNNNNNNNNNNNNNNNNNNNNNNNNNNNNNNNNNNNNNNNNNNNNNNNNNNNNNNNNNNNNNNNNNNNNNNNNNNNNNNNNNNNNNNNNNNNNNNNNNNNNNNNNNNNNNNNNNNNNNNNNNNNNNNNNNNNNNNNNNNNNNNNNNNNNNNNNNNNNNNNNNNNNNNNNNNNNNNNNNNNNNNNNNNNNNNNNNNNNNNNNNNNNNNNNNNNNNNNNNNNNNNNNNNNNNNNNNNNNNNNNNNNNNNNNNNNNNNNNNNNNNNNNNNNNNNNNNNNNNNNNNNNNNNNNNNNNNNNNNNNNNNNNNNNNNNNNNNNNNNNNNNNNNNNNNNNNNNNNNNNNNNNNNNNNNNNNNNNNNNNNNNNNNNNNNNNNNNNNNNNNNNNNNNNNNNNNNNNNNNNNNNNNNNNNNNNNNNNNNNNNNNNNNNNNNNNNNNNNNNNNNNNNNNNNNNNNNNNNNNNNNNNNNNNNNNNNNNNNNNNNNNNNNNNNNNNNNNNNNNNNNNNNNNNNNNNNNNNNNNNNNNNNNNNNNNNNNNNNNNNNNNNNNNNNNNNNNNNNNNNNNNNNNNNNNNNNNNNNNNNNNNNNNNNNNNNNNNNNNNNNNNNNNNNNNNNNNNNNNNNNNNNNNNNNNNNNNNNNNNNNNNNNNNNNNNNNNNNNNNNNNNNNNNNNNNNNNNNNNNNNNNNNNNNNNNNNNNNNNNNNNNNNNNNNNNNNNNNNNNNNNNNNNNNNNNNNNNNNNNNNNNNNNNNNNNNNNNNNNNNNNNNNNNNNNNNNNNNNNNNNNNNNNNNNNNNNNNNNNNNNNNNNNNNNNNNNNNNNNNNNNNNNNNNNNNNNNNNNNNNNNNNNNNNNNNNNNNNNNNNNNNNNNNNNNNNNNNNNNNNNNNNNNNNNNNNNNNNNNNNNNNNNNNNNNNNNNNNNNNNNNNNNNNNNNNNNNNNNNNNNNNNNNNNNNNNNNNNNNNNNNNNNNNNNNNNNNNNNNNNNNNNNNNNNNNNNNNNNNNNNNNNNNNNNNNNNNNNNNNNNNNNNNNNNNNNNNNNNNNNNNNNNNNNNNNNNNNNNNNNNNNNNNNNNNNNNNNNNNNNNNNNNNNNNNNNNNNNNNNNNNNNNNNNNNNNNNNNNNNNNNNNNNNNNNNNNNNNNNNNNNNNNNNNNNNNNNNNNNNNNNNNNNNNNNNNNNNNNNNNNNNNNNNNNNNNNNNNNNNNNNNNNNNNNNNNNNNNNNNNNNNNNNNNNNNNNNNNNNNNNNNNNNNNNNNNNNNNNNNNNNNNNNNNNNNNNNNNNNNNNNNNNNNNNNNNNNNNNNNNNNNNNNNNNNNNNNNNNNNNNNNNNNNNNNNNNNNNNNNNNNNNNNNNNNNNNNNNNNNNNNNNNNNNNNNNNNNNNNNNNNNNNNNNNNNNNNNNNNNNNNNNNNNNNNNNNNNNNNNNNNNNNNNNNNNNNNNNNNNNNNNNNNNNNNNNNNNNNNNNNNNNNNNNNNNNNNNNNNNNNNNNNNNNNNNNNNNNNNNNNNNNNNNNNNNNNNNNNNNNNNNNNNNNNNNNNNNNNNNNNNNNNNNNNNNNNNNNNNNNNNNNNNNNNNNNNNNNNNNNNNNNNNNNNNNNNNNNNNNNNNNNNNNNNNNNNNNNNNNNNNNNNNNNNNNNNNNNNNNNNNNNNNNNNNNNNNNNNNNNNNNNNNNNNNNNNNNNNNNNNNNNNNNNNNNNNNNNNNNNNNNNNNNNNNNNNNNNNNNNNNNNNNNNNNNNNNNNNNNNNNNNNNNNNNNNNNNNNNNNNNNNNNNNNNNNNNNNNNNNNNNNNNNNNNNNNNNNNNNNNNNNNNNNNNNNNNNNNNNNNNNNNNNNNNNNNNNNNNNNNNNNNNNNNNNNNNNNNNNNNNNNNNNNNNNNNNNNNNNNNNNNNNNNNNNNNNNNNNNNNNNNNNNNNNNNNNNNNNNNNNNNNNNNNNNNNNNNNNNNNNNNNNNNNNNNNNNNNNNNNNNNNNNNNNNNNNNNNNNNNNNNNNNNNNNNNNNNNNNNNNNNNNNNNNNNNNNNNNNNNNNNNNNNNNNNNNNNNNNNNNNNNNNNNNNNNNNNNNNNNNNNNNNNNNNNNNNNNNNNNNNNNNNNNNNNNNNNNNNNNNNNNNNNNNNNNNNNNNNNNNNNNNNNNNNNNNNNNNNNNNNNNNNNNNNNNNNNNNNNNNNNNNNNNNNNNNNNNNNNNNNNNNNNNNNNNNNNNNNNNNNNNNNNNNNNNNNNNNNNNNNNNNNNNNNNNNNNNNNNNNNNNNNNNNNNNNNNNNNNNNNNNNNNNNNNNNNNNNNNNNNNNNNNNNNNNNNNNNNNNNNNNNNNNNNNNNNNNNNNNNNNNNNNNNNNNNNNNNNNNNNNNNNNNNNNNNNNNNNNNNNNNNNNNNNNNNNNNNNNNNNNNNNNNNNNNNNNNNNNNNNNNNNNNNNNNNNNNNNNNNNNNNNNNNNNNNNNNNNNNNNNNNNNNNNNNNNNNNNNNNNNNNNNNNNNNNNNNNNNNNNNNAUUUUGAUGAGUAAAUGUUUCGAUAAAUUAUGAUUCAUACUCGUACAUAAUUGUUCAACAUCUCAACUGCACUCUAUUCCAUGUCUAUUUCUUGCACUCCAGAGUUUAGACCAUCAGGAAAGCCAUUUACAACCGAAGGACAAAAAUUAUUGUCUAUAUACUUUUAUUUUACUAUAAUACAUGAUGGCAAUUAAUAACAUCAGAUAUCCCAUUAUAUAAGCAAAUUUCGAAAGUGGCGAAAUUAAUAGAAGCAUAAUGUAAAAUAAAAUAAUAAUAAUAAUAAUAAUAAUAAACUCUUUUCCUUUUUUUUUUUUUAGGUCAAAGACAAUCAUUAAAACAAGACAGCUAACCAAUUAAUAAAUUAAAUAAUUAAGCUAAAUAAAACACAAUAAUUACCCGGGCACUUAAUGCUUAAUGCUCUUAAUAAUGUGGAUGAUAUUUGUACUAUAGCCAUGUUUGAAAACCACUAAUAUAUAUAUAUAUAUAUAUAUAUAUAUAUAUAUAUAUAUAAGAAAAUGUGUGUUUAAAAAUUAGAAAAAAAAAAUUGAAUUUAUUUAUAAAAUAUUUUAUUAUGAGAAUGUGUGAUUAAAAAUGAAUUCCCACCCUACCUCGUUUGGCCCGAACCUCGCCCUGCCCUGCCUUAGACGGGUGCAGGGCGGGGACGGGGCAACUUUCUACCCUUGCCCUGUUUAAUUUUUUUUAUUUUUUAUUUUAUUUACAUUUUUAAAGUUUCGAAUUAUGUUAUUAUUAGAUAAUAAAAUAUAAAUUCAAAAUGUCAUAUUAGGGACGGGGCGGUUUUUUUGUCAUCCCUACAUAUGUUAUGAAUUUCCAACGUAGUUUGAACAAUAUUUUGAUUUUUGAAGGAAAUUUGAAAAUAUUUUAACCACGAGAAAUAGGAUCUUGUUUUUAAUAUGAAAUUCGUGAAAAAAAUACUGUCAAAUAUGAGACUCAUGUUUUCUUACAUAGAGGAAGAUAAUUGCGUGAUACUAUUCUUUUAAAAUUGAGAUCUAAUAUCCAAUUUUUGCUAUGAACUCAAUUAUUUAUUGACACAUCAUUUUAAAUUGAAAUGUCAUCAAUUUUAAUUUCAAAUAUUUAACAUUGUUAAAACACCUUCUCUCUCUCAAAAAAAGAUUCUAUCCCCCUUUUUUUUUUUUAUCUCUCCAUUCUUCACGUCAUUUAUUUGCAAGCAAAGAAUAACGUACAAAUAGCGUUUCUCCUUGUAAACUAGCUAGAGUCGAUUUUUGGCGAUACAAAGGAUGCUCGAUAAGAUGCCAAUCAUGCUGUCACUUGAUGUGAACCAUCGAAAUCAAAGUUGGUGCACAUGUUUUGUGGAGCUCCCGGCGGCCGCCAACAAGGUGGGGCUUGUAAGGGACACAAGUUGGGGUUAUGGAUAUGGAUUAGCACUUGAUUUUCUUUACUCAUUUGCUUUUAAGUCUUAAUUUUAACUCUCUUCAAUUCUUAUCCACAAUGUCAUAAUCACAUGGAGAUUCUAUUUUAAUAUCUUAUUACACCUAAACCCAUAUUUAUUAAACUCGAAUUGAAUUGAUCAGAUAGUUGAUAAAUCCGACCCGUAACCAUUCCGAAUUCUUAUAUGUGGAAAUUACAUAGAUCCCUAGAGUUAAAAUCUUGAUUUCUUAAAUAAGAUGGGAACUUUCAAUUUUCAAAAAUCAGAAAUAUCAUAUGUAAAUAUUAAAAGAAUAAUUAAAUACAUUAUUUUCAUUCCAACCCUAGCUAGAACCAUUUUCUCUCUCGUAUCACUCCACAGAUGGGUUCCAUUGCAUUCCUCUCUUCAUCUUCUCUCCUCCCUCGCUUCGCCGCCACUAAUCCCUCAUCACAAUGCUGCUCUCCUCCAUCGCACCACCAUCGACGGCCUUGUACGGUCAGCCCCGUCCCGAUGUGGUUGGUGCAGGUCCCACGAUGUGAAGCGUCGAUCUGCACGCCGCCUUGAUUGUGUUGGAAGGUUUCUUAUUGCAUCUACUGUGCGGUGGUAGGGCGGUGGUGGUGGUCGUGGUGGCAGGAGGUCUGUGUGUGUGGUGGUAGGGGGUUAAUCUGGUGGUUAUUUUUUGGAAAAAAAAUUUAAUCGAUCUACUGUGAGCGCCGAGCGAUCGACGACGGUGGUGGUGUUUGUGGCCGAGUUUUGUGUGUGGGAUGCCGUGGGUGACGUAAUCUGAUGGUCAAUGUGGUUUUGGGCGGCUAGUGGUGGUGGAGGUGGCGGAUCUGUGGUGUAUUGGUGCUAAUUUGUGUGAGUUCUGUGUACGGGUGCUGAUUGUGUGUGGUGGUUGUGGUUCAUUGGAGUAGUGGUGAUGGUGACAGAGAUGGCGAGGUGCGGGUGGUGGUUCAUCGGGGUAGUGGUGGUGCUUGUCGCCGUUGGUGCGCUGCUCUAAUUUAUGGUCUGGAUAUGAUUUUGUUGGUGUUGGUCGAUGGUGGAUGUGGCAGUGUGCAGUGGUUUAUGGAUGGUUUGUGGUUCUAGUAAGUAGCAACAGAUGGUGGAUGUUUUGGUGACGACAUUGGUGACAGUGGUGGUUCGUCGAUGAUGGUUGUGGAAGCGAUGGUCACAAAUGUUGGUUACAGUUAUUUGGUUGUCUUUGGUGGCGGUGGUGUGGUGGUUUUUGGCGGCGGCGGUUGUUGGUUUUCAGAGUUUGGUGUGUGGUGGCGGUGUGGUUACUGUGACAGUGACUUUGCGUUGAUAUGGUGGUGGUUUUGCAGUCUGGUGGUGAGAUGAUGAUGGUGGUGGUCGGGGUGUGGUGGUCAGAUGGGACGUGGGGUGUUUGUGACCAAUAAAUUGGUUAAUCGGUGUCCAACAAAUAAUAUGUGACUUUAAAAAAUGUAAUUGUAACCCAUAAUUUAUUAAAUUGUGACUGUAAAAUUAAUUAUGAUCAAUAAAAUUUUGUUUUUGUGACUAAUUAAUGAAUUGUGAGUUAUGAAAUUUUUGAUUUGUGACAGAUAAAUGAGUUGUGACCACUAAAUUUUUUUUUUUUGUGACUGAUCAAUUAAUUGUGACUUAUGAAAUUUUUGAUUUGUGAUCGACAAAUGAGUUGUGAUUAAUAAAAAUUUUGAUUUUGUGAUCGACUAACGAAUUGUGACCUAUGAAAUUUUUGGUCCGUGACCGACAAAUAAUUUGUGACCUAUAGAAUUUUCAAUUUGUGACUUAAAAUCAAUUAUUUGAUUGAUUGUGACUAUUAAAUUGAUUAACUCGUGACUAAUAAACAAUAUGUGACCACCAAAAAGAUAAAUUGUGACCAAGAAUAAUGUGUGAUCUAAAAAAUAAUAAUUCAUGACCUAUAAUAGUUGUGAUCUAUGACUUGUAAAUAACUUGUAACGUAUAAAUUUUUUAUCUGUGACAAACAAAUCGUGACUUACAAAAUUUUGAAUUGUGAUCAUAAACAGAAUUUGUGACCUUAAAUUUUUUGAUUUGUGACCGAUGAACAAACUGUGACUUAAAAUUUUUUUGAAUUGUGAUUGUAAAAUAAUUUGUGACAUAAAAUUUUUUAUUUGUGACCAAAAAAUAAUAAUUUAUUAAUUAAAUUGUUAAUUUGUGACCAAAUUGUAUAAAUAUGUGGCUUAAAUAUAUUUACUUUAUAAAAUAAUUAAUUAAUUAAUUUAAUAAUAAAUAAAUUUUAAUAAAAAUCUGAUUUUUGAAGUUUGAAACUUAUUUUCUUAAUUUUGAAAUAUGUCAUACUUAGAACCUGUUUGGCCCCCAUUACGGGGAAAAUUUAAUGUAUAGAAUAGUGUUUUUUGAAAAAUGGGUGGUUGAAAAAGAAAGAAAAUUUUUCGAUUUACGUGUAAUAUUAUUUUAUGGAAGAUUAUGUGGUUGAAAAUAGGAGAGAGAAAAGUAGAAUGUAAUGUAAUGUAAUUUAAUCUCUCACUUAUAAAAUUUUCCCUUCUUAUAUUGGACAUAAUAGCAAAGGGCCCAAUCAAAGCCCAUUGGAUCGAAUGAGUUUGCAUGAAAAUUAGAAUUGGGUCACAGAGUACCGAUCCAAUAGUAAAGUUGUCAAAAUGAAGAUGUUGAAUUACUUUGAAGAAAAAUUUAAUCAUGAUGUAGGAUGUUUCGAACCUUGGUCUCUGCCUCUAUGGUGGAAAUAUCACUUGAAACCACUAGUUCACUGAUAACUUUAAACUUAAGAUUAAGUAAUGACCUACCACUUCAAUGAGUGAUCCAGUGGUUGAAUCAAUGACAAGAUGACUUAAAGAUUUUCGGAUCAACAUCCACAUUGAAUUCGAUAACUAUGCCUAAAACUAUAUUUGUUUUGAAAUUUUGGUUAUAUAUAAAGUCAUAAUCAAUCAAAUUAAUAACUUCAUGAGUUACAAACAUUUUGUUUUAGCCAAUCAUAGGAGGGAAUUGCUGGAAUAAAGUUUAAAUAGAAUUGAAUUGUAUUUUCUUCACUUAAAUUUUACCUAUUUUAAAGCGAAUCGUUAAUUUUAAUCAUAUAUUUUUGUAGGAUUCAAAAAUAUUACUCACUUAUUAUCAUUCAUUUCUUGAAAAGUAGAAUUUAAGGAGAAAAAUAUGAAAUACAAACAAAGACUUGUUGAUUAGAAAUUAAUUUUUGAAAUCACAUCAUAGUAUUGAAAAGUUUAAUUGUACCCUUGAAACGCAGCCCAAAAAUUCAAUGGAAUGAUCGAGUAAUUGAUGUGGAUUAAUCUCAACAAAUGACGCUAACCCUCGACAGUCUUCGAAAUGAAAAGCCACAAACUAAAAAUUAACGGGUCAUUAGCAAAAUAUGAAUAAAUAAAUAAAUAAAUAAUCCAUCUAUCAGAAUAAUUAAAAACAAAAAUUAUAUACUCAAAUUCAUGGAAUUGAUGUCCUAAGCAUUGAUGCUGUUAUGCCUGAUGUCUAAGGCUCUUACUAAAGGCCAUGUCAAUACCAUGUGGAGGUACUACAUAUGGACAACUUGCAGUCAACAAGAUCAAAAAUAAAGAAAGGAAACAAGUUGCUCUUUGGCCGAAGUACUAUCUUCGUCUGAAGCUCCUUGGACCGAAGCACUCCCUCUUCUGACCGAGCUGCAACACAUUCAAAGCUCUCUCUCUCUCAAAGCCAAAGAAGCUGUCGUCUUUAUAGCAAGUCCAAAGAAUAUCUUUAGGGAUAAUUGAUUUAACGUUUGUAUUAAUGAAUGUUAGAAAUGUCAGUAUAAGGUGUAGGACGGUUGAUCCCUUGUCACUGUAAUUAGGGGUGGGCAAAAACCGACUGAACCCGCCAAAAUCACCCAACCCGAACCAACCCGACUGGGUUGGGUCAGUUUUUUAGUUGUUUUUAAUUGGGUUCGAUUUUUUGGUUGUGUAGGUGGGUCGGGUUGUGGGUUAGCCCUUAAAAACCGAAUAAAUCCGCCCAACCCAACCCGCCUACUUUAAAAAAUAUUAAAAAAGAAAACAAAAAACUAAAGAAAUAAAAAUGACCUACUAACUAUCAUUCCUCAGUCCUCAAUCGAAGAAAGCCCUAAAAUCUCUGUGUUUCCCUCUCUUUUGCUCUUGCCCUCGCUCAAAUCACCGACAUCACCCCUAUCGGUAACUGGACUCCAGCACUAGAAAACCAACAAGCCAGGUAUAUUAUUUUUCAUUCUUCGUUUUUCAAGUUCUGUAAAUCAUAAUCUGAUGAGUUUUUUCUCAUCUUUUGAACCCUAUCAAGAGUACUAUAAUUCACUGGGGAUAUCUCCUUCUUUGGCUUUGUUUGGUGAAAAUGCAUUCUUAGAUUUUGGGUACAAGGCUGCACCAAAUAGAGGCCGUGAUUCUGAGUGGCGUAAAAUUUCUCAUAUUUGUGAUGUUCAUGGAGACUGAUUUAAUUUUAAUUUGCCUCCAUUUUUUGUGUUUUCUCGUGUAAGUAUCUCCAUUUUCAUUAAAUUCUAAUUAUUAUUCAUGAUUUUCCUUUUCCAAUCAUUCACCCUUAUUUAUGCAGGUCACAUUUUUAACCGGUUGCAUAUUAUGCUAAUAUGGAGCCCCCUCGCAUGUGCCGGUAUGUAUCAACUGAGAAUCCCUCUCAAUAAUCAUUUCUUUUAAUUCUUAGUGCUAUAAUUUUGAAUACAAUUCCCUGUAUAGCUAGUACUCUUUUUUGCUAUUUAAAAUAUAACGUAUAAUUUUAUUAUUAUUUUUUAUCUAAAUUGUUCAUAUUCAUAAUAACUUGUCCUCGUGUCUUUAAUGAAAUACUUGUUAGCCUUGUACUGUAUUGAACACUGUUGUAGAGUGUAAACACUCGGAAUGGUAACUUGGAGAUUUUCGUAUCUUUUUAGUACCAUACAUUUCUAGAGUUCAAAAAUCGAUUUCUAAAGUUUAAAAUAGAGAUUCAAAAGUCUGAAAUCCAUUUUAGAAGUUCAAAUAUCUGAGGAGUAAAUCUAGAACUCAGAGACGGAUUCUCUCUCAAUGAGGGACUACAGCAAGCUGGUAACACUCACAGUUGAUGACAGAAGUUUUGGUAUCAUCUUUUAAGGUGAAUCGCAUAAGUGUGUAGUAGUUAUGGAUCCUAAAAAUAACAUUAAAUGGCGUUCUCUGUCUCAUAGUUUGCAUAGUAAUACAGAACUUAUAAUUAACUUAACAUACACAAACCAAUUAUUUGUUUAUCUAUUUUGUUUAUGUUUCUGUUUUCCGUUUGAAUUCCUCUGCUAAGCUUCUAAAAACAUUUCUCCCUUCAACAUCAAUGGUUGGUCAUGAUUGGCAGCUACAGAUAAUUUCAAGGACGAUCCUGUUUGUCUUCACACAGAGUGACCUUUGGUGAUAGAUUAUGCUUAGGAAAUGGACACAGACAUAGGUGUUGUAUUAUUUCUUUAUUGUGUUGCAUUGUUAUUUUUAUUAAAUACAUCUAUUUGGUUGUUUUAUAAUUUUGGUGGAAUAUGUUUGUAGAUAUGGAUGAUUGUGAAGUACUUGGUACAGAAUCUUUAUCAAAUGACAUAGAUUUGCAAGCAAGUCUUCCUCCACGUGUACCGUCAACAUUAGGUAAACGAAAAUCUAAUAGAUUAGCUUCAUAUAUUUGGGAUCACUUUACGCUUUUGGGAUCAAGGGAUGAUCCAAAUGUUAGGUGUAAAUGUAACUACUGUGGGGUAGAUUAUGCUUGUGGCACUAAGAAGUGUGGUACUAGCACAUUGGGUAAUCAUUUGACAAAUCAAUGUAAGAAGUAUCCUAGUCGAUUGGUGGAUAAGAAGCAAAAAAUCCUUUCUUUUGAGAAUAAAAAAGAGGGUGGCAGGAGCAAUCUUGUUGCUAUUGGUCGAAGUAAAGAAGAGUGUAGAUUUGCAUGUGCUAAGAUGGUUGUAUUGGAUGAAUUACCUUUUAGGUUUGUUGAAGGUCAGGGUUUUCAGCUCUUUUGUAGUGUAGCAUGUCCUCAAUUUAAGGCUCCACCUCGUAGGACUCUUGUUAGAGACAUCUAUUAAUUGUAUUUAGAUGAAAAACUGAAAUUGAGAGAUGUCUUCUCUUUUCACCGUCAAAGGGUUUCCCUCACAACUGAUACUUGGACUUCCAUUCAAAAUGUUAAUUACAUGUCUCUCACAGCACAUUUUAUUGAUUUUGAUUGGACACUUAAUAACUGUAUUUUAAAUUUUUGUGUUGUUCCAAAUCACAAAGGAGAAACGAUUGGGAAAAUGAUUGAGACUUGUUUACAAGAUUGGGGAAUUGAGAAAGUUUUUACAAUCACUGUUGAUAAUGCAAGCUCUAAUGAUGUGGCUAUUGCUUAUCUUAGGAGGAAGUUGAUUGCUUGGGGUAGUGAUGGAUGUGUUCUAGAUGGAAGAUAUUUGCACUUGAGGUGUUGUGCACAUAUUAUAAACUUGAUUGUUUGUGAGGGGUUGAGGGAAGUACAUGACUCCAUUGUAAAUAUCCGCAAUGCAAUCAAAUAUGUGAAAUCUUCUCCUGCUAGGUAUGAAAAACUGAAGGAGUGUGCGAGAAAAGAGAAGAUCGAUUGCAAGUCUAUUGUAUUUUUGGAUGUUCCAACUAGGUGGAAUUCAACCUAUUUGAUGUUGGAAACGGCAUUAAAAUUUGAGAAAGCUUUUGAUAGGUUAGAAGAAGAGGAUGCUCAAUAUUUGCAUUACUUUCGGGAAGACGAUGGUUGUAAAAAGAGAGGUGGACCUCCUUCAAAUUUAGAUUGGAAAAAUGGACCUGUAUUUUUCAAGUUUCUUAAAAAAAAAUUUGAUGUGACUUUGACUUUUAGUUCUUCAUUGCAUGUUAGUGCUUGUGCUUAUCUCCAUGAAAUUUGUAAUAUUGUAUUCGAAUUGGAUGAAUGGAGAUUGAGUGGUAAUUUUUUAUUGGGUGAAAUGGCGACUAACAUGAAGAAGAAGUUCAAAAAGUAUUGGGGUAAAAUGGAAAAUGUGAAUCAGUUGUUGCUUAUUACUACUAUCCUUGAUCCAAGAUAUAAAAUGAAUUAUGUUGAAUACUGUUUUAGUGAUCUAUACAUGGAUGGGGAAGUUGUUAGUAACAUGAUGAAAUCUUUGAAAGAAAAUUUCAUGGAUAUUUAUGAGUGGUAUGUGGCAUGUGAAGGUGUUCAUGGAAGUAGUCAAGUAUCAACUGACGAGACUUUGAGUUCUUUCGGUACAAAUAAAGACAGUUCUUCUUCUAUGAGUGAUGCUCGUCUUUCUAGAUUUUUGAAAAAAUAAGCUGUAAAAGAUUAUGUUGAAAUAAAAAAUGAUGUGGAAAGAUACUUACUUGAUGCUCGUGAAAGCAUAGAGAACAAGGACUUUGAUGUUCUCGAUUGGUGGAAGCUUAACAAAAGUAAGUACGGUGUCUUGUCUAAUCUUGCUAAGGAUGUCUUGGCAAUUCAAGUUUCAACAGUUGCUUCAGAAAGUGCUUUUAGUAUCGGAUGAAGGAUACUUGAUCCUUUUCGUAGUUCAUUGAGUCCUAAAAUGGUGGAAGUCUUGGUAUGCACACAAAAUUGGUUGAAAGCUUCUCCACAGUUAGAUGGUUUCCACAUGGAAGAUGUUGAGCAUUACAACCAAUUAGAUGAAGGUAAUAUGUAUUUUUUUCAUAAAUUUUGUUAUUUUGACUUUAUAUAUAUGUAUUUUGUUGCCAACUGAAUCAACUUUUUUUUUUUUGUAGAAUUGGAAUCGGUGAAUUCAAAAUUAAAUGAAGAUGAUCGAGGUCACAAGAAUUAAUUUGUUUCAUGUCUAGUUUUUGUUUGUGCCAAUUGUCAAUAGUUAUUGGAUAAUUAUUUUGUUUGUGUCAAGUGUCAAUGGUUAUUUGAUGGCUGAUUUUUGUUUUGUGGCACAAGAAUUAUUUUGUGUUGGUGGCUGAUUUUUUUUCUAGCAAAUUUUUGUUUGUGCCAAUAGUUUUUUGCCUCGGAACUAUAGCUUUGUAAUUAGAUAUGUAAUUGUUAUUGGAUAGUUAUUUCAUGUGUAUUUGGUGGAUUAUACCAUUAUAUGUUUUAAGUUUAUUGAUGUUGGAAGACUAUAUAAAUGUUGUUUUAAAUUUAGUAUUUUGACGACUUUAAUAUUUGUUGAUAGGUUUUCCCAACCCGACCGACAUUGGGUUGGGUUGUGUUAGGUUUCAAUCUUUACAUGGGUUGGGUUGGGUUGAACAUUACUAAAACCGACCACGUUGGGUUGGGUUUGGGUUGACGUAAAAAUCGAUCCAACCCAACCCACGCCCACCCCUAACUGUAAUUAAUAUAUUGCAAAAAGUGAUGAUGCUCCGGUUGUUGUGAUGAGAGCACGUGGUUUUGAUCCAAUGGUGACCAUGUCAACCCCAGCUAUAUAAAUAGCAGCUUUUGUAACCUGUAAUGGGAUUGGAAAAAAUGUAGGCAAGGUCACGUAUUUGAAUUCCCAUAAAAAAAAAACCCCUUUGUUGUUCAUUUCACAUUGAUAUGAAUUCAAAUCAUCUCUAGCUUCAAGGAGAGUCUUUGAUUGCUCAUUUUUCAAUUGUUCUCAAUCAUACCAUUGGUGCUCGAAUGUGUUUAUCUCGUGUUAUAGAGCAUCUCACAUGUCCGAUUGACCUUACGAUCAACUAUUCUGAUCGAAACAUGCCGAAAUUUGCUUGCAACACACGAGUGAACCCAACAUCUGUUGGCCAUGUCGUCAUCGCAAAAAGGGGUUAAAAGUACCUUGAAUGAUUCUUCAUAACUUAUAUUUUCAAAUUCCAAUUUUUAUAUAAAUAUAUGCAAUUAGACUUGGGAGACCAUUGUUGUAGGUUAAAAGUAACUACCCCUAAAAAAAAUAUGGUACUAAUACAUCGCAAAAGUCCAUGUAUUACAUAAAUGAUCAUACAUCAAUUUGGGGGACUAUUGUUACUCUCAAGUUCGAGGCCCUUACUGAAGGCCACGUCAAUGCCACAUGGAGGUACUACAUACAGAUAGCCGAUAAUCAACAAGAUCAAAAAUAAAAGAAAGGAAACAAGCUGCUCUUUGAUCGAAGUAUUAUCUUCAUCCAAAGCACUCCCUCUUCUAUCUGAACCGCAACACAUCCAAAACUCUCUUUCAAAGCCAAAGCACCUACCGCCUUUAAAGCAAGUCUAAAGAAUAUCUCUAGAAAUAAUUGAUGUAACUUUUGUAUUAAUGAUUGUCAGAAACGUCACUAUAGGGUAUAGAGUGGAUGACCCCUUAUCAGUGUAAUUAAUGUAUUUCAGAGAGUGAUGUGUGGCUUAGGUUGCUGAAAUGAGGCUACGUGAUUCUGAUUCAACGAUAACCACGUUGACCCCAACUCUAUAAAUAGUAGCUUUUGUGUCCUAUAAUGGGAUUGAAAAAAAAUAUGUAAGAUCGCACAUUUGGAUUCCCAUAAAAAUCCUAUUUCUUGUUCAUUCCACAUUAAUAUGAGUUCAAAUCACCUUCAACUUUGGGGAGAGUUUGUGAUUGCUCAUUUCCAAUUGUUCUCAAUCAUACCAACAGUACUCGAACAUGUUCAUUUUGUGUUGUAGAGCAUUUCCCAUGUUCGAUUGAACUUAUGAUCGGCUAUUCCGAUCGAAGCGGGUCUAAAUUUGCUCGCGCAAAUAUGAGUGGGCCCGACAUAUGUUGGCUAUGUUGUCAUCGCAAAAAAGGAUUGACAAAUGCACUCAGAUGACAUGACACAUUACAAUAAAUGAUGAUAUCCUAAACACCAAUGCUUAGGAGAUCAGUCCUACUCGAACUCAUAUUUCAAUUUCUAUUUUUUUACGUAAUUUCAAUUAGAGCCUGUUUGGGAGUGAUUUUGAGAAUUGAUAUUUUGACGGUUAGGAGAAAAGUGGGGUCCACCUGUGAGAGAAGAAGUCAAAUAUGAUGACUGGAAUAGUGAAAUAACCGUCAAAAAAUCAAUUUUUUGGGACAAAAAUCGCUCCCAAACAAGCUGUUAAUAAGAAGUAAUUUAAUUAAGAUAUCCGUAUUGGUUUGAUACUGGUGAAGCCGUAUAAAUUGAAUUUUUUCGAGUAAUUGUAUUGGAUAAAAUUCAAUUGACAUUUUCGUUUUUUAGCGGUUGUACCUAUUAUAUUCAUUUGAUUGAUUUUCUAGCAUCUCUACAAAAAAAAUUGAACAUUAGGCUCCCGUUUGAGCCCCAUUUUCUAAAAAUUUGUUUUUGCUUCAAAUUUAUUUUCGAUCACUCAUUUUUUUAAAUAAUUUUACAGAUAAAUUCAGAAUAAUUUCUGACUUUUUAAUUACACAGUCUUUCGAAAAAAUCAUGAUUACAAAAUCUAUUUCUCCCAAUAAUAAAGACAUUUAUUUUUAUUCUAGUUUCUGCAUAAUACUAUUUUUGUUAAUUUUGUGAUAUAAAUAUAGAAUAAUAUAUAUAUAUAUAUUAGAAAUUUAUAAGUAAAAGGGGUUAGCUGGAGUUUCGUAUAUAUAUAUAUAUAUAUAUAUAUAUAUAUAUAUAUAUAUUAGAAAUUUAUAAGUAAAAGGGGUUAGCUGGAGUUUCGCCCCUAGAAAAAAUUGGCGGCAACCUCGAUUGACAAGGAAAAAGUUGUAAUUACCAUAUCUCAAAAUUACAUUUUCAAAAAUAUCAAAUUUUGAGAAAAUUUUCAUAAUCCACGUCAUAAUUCACAGUUUUUGAAUAAAAAUAGAUAAUAAUUGAUUUUAUAAAACAAUUAUGUGAUCUGAAUAGGUAGUUAUUAACGGAUAAUUGAGAUUUAUCUCUCUAAUCAUAUUCAUUUUCUUAAGAACAAUAAUGCAGUCUCCACCAUUUUUGGGUGUCUAUAAAUAAAUAAAGAAAUAAAUCAUGGCUUCAUGGCUUUAUAAUUUCCUCUACAUGUUCUUCGGUCACAACCAUCAUUCGACAUGUCAAAUGGAAAAUUAUUCAACUUCUGUAAAAAUGGAGUUUUGAUGGAUGUACAUAACUAUUUCAACGGAAGUUUUCCAGAUCCCUCAGAUGAGGUGGGUCCCACCUCAUUAAAAAAUGACCCCAAAAAUUCCUACCCGACCCAUGUUUGUGUGUAUUCUGUAGGGGUCAUGGCUCGUAAAAAUUAGUAGACUGCGUAUCACAGUAGGGAUUUGUUUGGAAUUCAUAAGGUAUGUUUGCAUCGUUUAUUUGAAUACUUGGCUAUCAAAAAGAUAUGAAUGCAAUCCUUGCAAUUGUGACUGUGUGUGUGUGUGUAUAUAUAUAUAUAUGCAUUGUUUGUUGUUGAGGUAUGAAGUUUGUAAUAAUAAGUAUAUGUGACCAUCGAUUUUUAAGCACGUACAUAAUUCAUACUCAUAUGAUUGUGACAUUGUGUUUAUUUGACAAUUGCUCUUACACAACAACCAGUUUACACGUAAAGAAAUUGGCUUUCAAAAUUUGUACAAAAGACACUUGGUAGAAACUUUGUCGAAUAAUGGCACCUACAUUUGGUGCAAUUCUGUGAAGUAUUCUUCAAUACAAGCAGAUUAAAUCCUUACACAAUGAUAUUAUUGUUUUUUUUUUUUUUUAUUGUGAUGCACUAAAAUUGUGGCUUGAUAUGUGCGACUUAAUAUUAAUAUAAAUCAAUUGUCAUAUGCGUGUGACCUAUGUUAGUUUUGUGUAAUUUAAAUUUCAAAAAUCUGUAAGUUGAUCGAAUUUUAAAUCUUGUUUAAAUUAGUAAGAUAAUUGAAUGUUGUGUAAUUUGACUUUAAAAAAAUGAAAAUAGAUAUACAUUACCACAAUUAACGAGAUUCGAGACUAAAUAAAAAGGGUAAUUAUAUUACCAUUACAAAAAUUGUUAGUUACACCACAAUUUUUUUAUUUACUUAAAUAACUUUAAAUAAAAUUACAUAAGUGGAUUUUUAUUAUAUUUAUCACAUAAAAUAAUUUAUUCUUCCACCACAAUCAUGAAACCUUUAAAAAUUUAUCUUCCUCCCCAAUCCCUCCUCCAACCCUCACUCUCAAAACUUCAUCUUUCAAUUAAGUUUGGCCAUUAAAAAAAUUAAAUCUCUCUCAUCGAAAUUAAAUUAAUUCCAUGGAAGAAUAACGAUUAAAAAAUUAUGUUUCAAUGGUGAAAUUGAUAGAAUGUAUUCUCAUUCACAACCCUGGCAACAUAAAUUUUUGAACAAAACGUAAAAGUCAUGUCAGAAUUUUUUUCAUAAAGAUCCAUACAAAAAAAUGGAUCUUCUGGUACCACAUGAAUUAGCUAAAAUCAUAUCAAUAUACCUCCAUGAGAGAUAGAAAGACGUUCCAACAAAACAAAAAGAAAAGAAAAAGAAAUGGAUGAAGAAUUGGGAAAAACUCCCAGUAAUUUCCAUAAUUUCAGCACCCUUAAACUGCCAUCUAGGCAAGGGUAACGGAUAUAAAAGGAACAUGGGAUUGGAGGAUGUCAAAGUGGAGAAGCAAGAGAAUGGGGGUAUUGAUUCACAUGUGAGAAGAUUUUCAAGGGCUUUAGAUUUUGCACAACCAAGAGGAUGAGUGAUCUGUGUAAUGGCUUUAAAUUUUCAAUGUUUUAUUAAAUCAUUUUGUAGUAUCAGGAGAUUUUACGAAAAUUCUAUGUGGGUAAGUUUUGUUUUUAUUCUGGAGUUUUCAUUGAGAUUAUGACAUGCUACUUCAUUAUGUUUUGAAAUAUUAUUUUGGUUUAUUCAAAUACACACACGCAUACACACACACACACACACCACAAUAUUGUAUUAUUUUUUUUAUUGAAUUAGGAGUAUAAUUGCAAAUUUAUUGUGGUGUAUUUAUUAAAAAUAUAUUUUAAUUGUGGUGUGAUUAUAAUGUGGUGCAGUAAUUAAAAAUUGUAGUGAUAAUAUAAUUAUCCAAAUAAAAAUACCAGCUCUGUAAUAAUUUUUGAUAAUGAAAACUGAAAAACAUGAUUUCCUUUAAUUUUUCCAGUUGACAAACAUGAAAAUAGUUCGAUUAUCUCAUCAUACAUGGACAUCUGUACGAGGCAUGAUUCUGGACGGUCAAUUUUUGUAGUAAACACAAAAGAAUAAUUGACAUAAAUAGCACUAAAUUAGUCACCUUGAUAAUAGUCAAUGAACAAUACUUGCACUCGACAAUUUAUUGAAUAAACGAAAAACGAAGUAUUUCUUUACAAACAGUUAUAGAGUGUAGUUAGAGUUGAGAUUUGCACACAAAUUAAAAGAUUAAUAAGUAAUUAGGUUGAAUGGAAUAAUUAAAUUUUAUAACGUAUAGCUCAAAAUGAGAGCACACAUUCUCUAUCGAUAGAUUAUCCUAAUAAAGGAAAAAAGGAACUUAACGACGGACACCUAACAAAGAUUGAACAACUCAUCUCAGCUAGAAAAUAAAAUAUUAGAGAAAUUUGUCAACCAGAUCAAAACCAAAGUAAAGCACAUGACAUAAGCAAGCAAAUAAUCCCUUACUCCUAUUCAGGCUUUUACGUUCGUUCCCUAAACUUGUGGUAGCAUGUUUUUUAACUUCCCUCAAAAGUAAUCCAUGCCUUCUCUUAGGUUUGUGUUGCCCUCGUAUAUGUAGGCUGGAACGAGUGACUACCUUAUUUAUAUAGGAUAAAUUCGUUUGGUGUUUCCAACUAAUGACAUUAAUUAAGUACUUCCAGCCAUAGUGAUCCUAAACCAACUUUUGUCAUGUCACUUUCAUAGAGCACAUUCUCAACAUAUUUGAAUUGAAUGCCUUAAAAAAUAAUGGAUGUAAACAAUUAGCUUGGUCUCUUGUCAAUCCUAGAUAGUACCUGCAGUCUCGGUUGAUGAUGGGAGUGUGUUGAAUGUUUGCACGUUGAGCAGUGUAAAGAGAAAGAUGAUGAUGGUUCGAGCAUCCAGAAAAGGUUUUCCUUCUUCUUUUGACGGAAUUGAUAGAGUUUCGGUACCUAGAUGAUAUAGCACUCUUCUUGCUUUUGUUUAAACGAUGUGACUCAGUGAUUAUUUUGUUUGGAUGUACCUUCAUACAAAUCAUUCCUUCCCCCAAUAGGUCAAGCUAUUUAACCCUCUCCCUUUGGUCGAGCUUCAUCUUCUAAUCUACUUGUGGCCCUACUAACAACUCUUCUAUUUGAUUCUAUUUUCGGUGUAUCAGGGAUAGAGACCUAAUCGUUUCUUUAUUUAAUAUAAGUUUUUAUUAUAAUGAUCUCUUUUUUAAGAUGCAUUUUGAGAUUUUGAAGACAAAAGGAAAGAAUUAUUUCAGCAAAAAUGCUAUUGAUUCUAGGAAGAUUAUGAUAAGGACAACAGAGCACUUGCCAACCGUCAAUUCUUUAGUUUUGGUCUAAACACAAUGGCUAUUUCAACCCAUUCAUAGGACUGGUUUCCAAUUCACCCUUGACUUUUUGUAGAGGCUCAAUUGUGGAGCCCGACAUUGAUAGCAUUACUAUCGUCAAGAACCCGACCUCGGGCUUUGAGGACACCAUUUCAAUGGUGAAAGCAUGCAUCGGGGAGUUGCUAGAACAACCUUGUGGCUUUCUCAAGGUUUAUUUGAAAAAUAGUUGAAACAUAAUGAACAUGAGAUGAAUUGAUUCAAGUAAAUCAAAUGUUACAAAAGAAAUUUAUCAAUUUUUCUUGUGCAGAUUAUGGUGACACUAAACUAAAGAAAUCAUAAAAUGAAUUCUUGAUCCAGAAUAAUUCUCCAAUGCUCGUAGGCUUCAAUUUUUCCACACAAGUAUUUGCCAUGUAUUUAUUCCUCCUAUUUGUAACUCCACUUGAAAAAUUGGAGCUUUUAUGUAAAGCUAAGCUCGAUAUCCGGAACUAAUCUAGAGUGCCUUCUCAAAUAAUGAAAGAUAAGUGUUUCUUCUCGUGGCUCACAACAAAAUAGUAUUUUACUUCUACGUGUCUAGUCAACUGCUACACUUCAAGGUAUUUCAGGGAUAACCAACCUUUCUCUAGGUUCAACGUGGCAUUUUCAGAGCCAAAUCUAGUCACAAAAAAGAAAAGGAACAGAGAUUGAAUGCAGUCGCCAUAUAUUUUUGUAACGGGAAUACUGGCAUUGACAAUCAUGUCGCCCUAGUCUAUCUAUAAUUGGGGGAGGGGAUUGAGGGAAGAAGAGCAAUUGAUUCUAUAUCUCAGGCAUAGGCGAUCUGUGAGCAUCACCUUGUUGCUCCUCUCACUGCGGCGGCUGAGGAUGUAACAAGUUUGGAUAGAUACUUCUCAAGAUAAUUAGUUAGCCAAGCUAAUAUAUCUACAAAACAUUAUUUGAUAUUUUUAGUUAUCGUUGAGAUGAUGAAGUUCGAAAUUAUGUAGAUUUGUAAGAAAUAAUCUUCAUGCUAGUCAACAAGCUUGGUCAAUAAUUGGUAUUUCAUUUUAAAAGGUUAACCUUAUUAAGAGAAGUGGUUCAAACCCUUAAAAGAUAGCCUAUGUUUUUAUCUUUAUUCAAUAUGAGAUUUCAUUUCUUAAUAUGCCCCCCUCAAGGAGAGAAACUUGGGUGGAACGGUCGCAUCAUCCACGUGGUGCGUCGCCCAACCCAAGGCGCCACCUCUGCGGAUGGCCCACACACCUCGGGGGUGUGCGGUGGCCCACUCACUGAGGUGGCGCACAUUGAUAGGGCGGUUGCACCGUGCGCCAUACCUAAGUUUUUCCCCCCCAAGAUGGUGGUUCAUUUUUUAGCAAAUCAAUUUUGAAAUUUGCAAGCUCGUUUUUUGAGUUUUAAUCGAAAUAGUUGCUCAUUCAAUUUUAAUGUGUUUUAAUGUGAUGUUAAAAUUUGUGAUUCUAUUUUAAGAGGUCAGCCUUAUUAAGAAGAGCAGCCCAAUUCAUUAAAAGUUGGUCUACAUUUUCUUUUUUAUUAGAUGCACCAAAAAUUGAUGACUCGUUUUUUAGUAAACCAAUCUUGAAAUUUGCAUACUCAUUUUUCUGAGUUUUAAUAGGAUUGAAUCGCUCGGUAGAACUUAAUGGCUUUGAAACCAUGUUAAAACUUGAGUUUCAUUUUGAAAUAUUAACCUUGUUACGAGGAGUAGCCCUAUUCUUAUAAGUUGGUCUAUAUUUUUAUCUUUAUUCGAUGUGAGAUUUUAUUUUUUAACAUAUUUCACUUAUCUACAAUUUUUAGUUAUACUUCAUUUAAAACUUUGGUGGAUUCACAAUCUACUAACUUAAUACCUUUAGCCACAUUCGUCCCUACUAGAUUUAUUUAUUUUAAGAAAAAAAUAAACUCCAUAUACAGUGCUGUAAGUCUAGGCCUAAAUCCAAAAUCUGCAAUGCUAUAGUCGUUGUCAUCAACACAAUAGGUCUAACAAAAUUAGAUUUUUGUUGAUUGUUAAACUAUAAACAAUCAAGAUUCUUGCUCAAAGUCGAGAAUAUUUGUCGGUCAUUAUAAAUAUAUCAAUUGUACUUAAGUAUCAAUUGUACUUAAGAACUUAAUUCAUAUUGGCUAUUGAACUUUUGGAACACCACAAACCUAAGGAACGAGAUUAACAAUGCUUGAAAAUAUCAACUUCAAUCAAUAUUUGGCCUUGAAUCGUGUUUUUAAUAGUCUAUACGAAAACAGUAGAUUCAUUAGGAAAACUUUGGGUACAUAAAUUGUGUAUUCUUAACCAGUGGCGGAGCCAGCACUCGACAAGGAAGUGCUGCCCACGUGUUGGUUUCGCCGGAAAUUACAGGGGCGGUGCACUUGAUCUUUCAUAUGUGAUCUCCGGCAGGUAGAGAUUUGGGGAAGAUGAAGUCUUGGGCCAUUUUUCUUUUGAUUGAGAAUGGGCUUUUUUUGUUUUGGAAAAAUGGGCCUUUUAUCUAAAAUUGUGGCCCAUUAGUAGAAGAUAAACCAUACUUAAAUAAUUGCCCAAAAUCACAACAAAUACAUCCAUUGCCCAAAGUCAGAAAAAAAUGUCACGACAUUUCAAUAUUUCACUUUAAAAAAUCCCAACCCGAGACUCAGACACCAGGUAAUUCGAAAUCCUAUUCUUCUACCUAGACUUUGACUCGGCGGUUCCCAAUUUUUCCCACCCUCUGUCGCCACUCACCACUCAGUUUCAGUGACGAACGCACUGCGCACACCGCCUCUCUGUCGAUAAUUUUUUUGCAUUGUAUUCAUCUUCUUAUAUCUUAAAUUAUUAAAAAAUUGUAUCUUUUGUACUUUAGAGUUUGUGAAGAGAUUGAUUUUAGUUAUAAUAUGAUUUAUAUAAUCAAGAAAAUUAGAUUAUUUGCAAUUGGACUACUUGACUGGAGGGAAUUUGUGUACUAAAUAACAUUAUGAAUUUUUUUCUUUUUUUAUUAUUUUGGGUUGUAUUAAAUUAUAUUUUUAUAUGUAUAUGAUUUUUAAGUUUUAGUCUAUUUAUAUAUAAAUUGUGAAUUUUUAAUAUUAUUUAAUUAAUCAAUAAACAAUAUUGCUAUUACGAUCGUUGAUUGUCCGUGGUUAACAGUCAACGACCAAUCUAGUUGGCCACAAUUCCUAGAUCCAACACUGCUAUUAACACUGUAAAUAUUUGUUUUAAAAAAUUUGUUUGGUGAAUAUCUUCUUGUUGUUGCUUCAACUUUUCUUAUAAAAAAAUAAAUCUAAAUUCAAAUUUAUAAUUGAUCCUCAAAUCUUAUUUUCGAUGUGGGUUGAUCAAUAAUUUUGAGUUUUAUUAUUUUAUUCAUUUCCCUACAAUUUUUAUUUCCAACGAACUCUGAGUAAAAGAGGAUUUAUUUUCAUCUAUAAAAUAUGUUUCUAUUAUUCCUCAACGUAAAAGUUAUCAAUCGUGUUUAAUUACCAUUUAAAAGUCUAAAGAAACAAAUAGUUAUUUAUUUACAUAUUAUCUUUAACAUAACUCCAUAGACUAAAGUUCAUUUAUAUAUUUCAAGAAAGGCAUGGCACAAAGAAUUUCUAUAAACAGGUAGCAGCAAGAUGACUAAACUUUAGAAGCUUACUUUUAGCACCUGUUUGUUUUUCAUUCUUUCUCCAUUAAAAUAAGAAUAAUAAUCGUUAUCCAUCACAUCAAGCUACCAUAUUUGAAUUUCUAUAUUUUGCAUGGGGCUUGUAACAGCUAUAUUUUUCAUUAUCAUUUUUACAUAAAUAAAAAACAAACAGGUCUUAAUAUUGUGUUGAAUGAGAACAUCUUAUAGAUAUUUAACUAUUUCCUACUUUUUCAAUUGAUCGUGGAACUUAAAAUUUCCGAAACUUCAACUAUAUAUUUGUUAUUACUACAACAUAUUUAAUAUUUAGCCGUUACUUGAACCCCAUUCUUUUGGAAAAAAUCAUUUUUCAACAACACAUUUUUUAAUAAAAUAAUAUUACACGUAAAUUCAAAAUUUUUCAUUAUUUUUUAACCAUACAUUUUCCAUUAAUACACUAUUCAAAAAUUCAUUCUUCCCCAAAAAAUGGGCUCAAACAAGGACUUAAUUCUAAACACAAUUAAAUAAUAUUAGAAAAUAAAAUUCUAAUGUUUUGCCCCGGUUUGAGUCCCCUUUUUUUUAAAAGGUAUUUUUUCAAAACUCAUUUUCCACUGCAAAUUUUUUAAUAAAAUAAUUUUACACAUAAAUUCAAAAUAUUUUCUUAUCUUUUAACCAUAAAUUUUUCAAAAAAUUGACAGACCCUUGAAAGGCGGCAGCGGAAGGGGGCGGAGUGGACAUUGGUGGCCCGGGAUAAAUGGCUUUACUCUUCUUUGGCUAUAGUUUCACCAGCAAGGUAAAACAGAUUUAAUGCAUGUGGCCAGCCAUUUGUCCAAAUUUUAUUAUAGGAAAAGACAUCUACAAUUAUUUUAAUUAGUUGCUUAGUGUUCAUAUGACACUUCUUUUUUUUUUUGCACUUUUAGCUCUUUUUGGUUUCAAUUUUUAAUUUUUUUUUUAAAACUUAUUUUCCAUCACACAUUUUAUUGAAUUUAUAGUUUUUAUCAACUUUUUAAUCAUUUAUUUCAUUAUCUUUUCUUGAAAUCUACUAAAAAUUUUGCCCUUGUUUGAGCUCCAUUAUUUGAUGAAGAAUGUAUUUUGAAAUAGUAAAUUAUUGAAAAAUAGUUUUACUUGGUGUACAAAAAAUGGUUCACAGAAUUUUUACAAGCUUCCACUCGACAGUUUCUCAUUCAUCCUUAGCCAAAAAUACAUAAAAGAAGCACCAUACAAGUGCUGUGUCAGCACCUAUAAGAUGCCUGUGAACAAUUCCUUGUACAAGGAUAAUUGUUCGAUCAAGAAUAUAUGGUUAAAAAAUAAAAAAAUUCUAUAUUCAACAAACAUUGUUGUCAAUAAUAAUUAGGAAAAUUUGCAGUCGAGGUACCAAACAUUUCAUUUAUUAGCAGAUUUUGUCCAAACCUUUAAUUUGUGCCACCCACAGUUUCAAACCUUUCAAAAAUAUACACCGGGGGUUCAAAUGGAUAGAAAUCGUCCGUUUGACCGUUAAUUGACUAGAAAAGUCAAAAUUUGAUCACUUUGGACCAAAUUAAAUAGGGCAAAGUGGUACUUUGCAUUUUUUCUUAAUAUUAAUAAUUAAUAAUAACAAUAGAAAAGUAAAAACAAAAUAAAUAAAAAUCAAAGAAAAGAAAGGGAAUACUGUUCAUCUUCAUCUUCACCCCACGCCACCUUGCCCCGCCCCACGCCACCCGUGUUGGCUACAGAAAGAGCUUACGGAAUGGCAGGUGAAUCCGCCAACGAGUUUCAAGCACAAAGUAACGGAUAAUUUGCAGAGGUUUUUGUUCUUUUCUUUUCUUUGCAAAGGGUUUUGUUCUUUUCUUUUUAAUUUUCUUUGAUUUGGUGUUCAGUUUAUUUGAUUGGUUGAAAAAUCGGAAAUUUGGUGUAAUUGGUGGUAAUAGAUAGGUAAUUGAAGUCAACGGUGCACCGACUUUGUACGCAGGUGAAACGUAUCAGCUAUAGGUGGAUUUUUCGGAGCAUUACCAAAUGGAAGCUCCUCAGGUGAAUAUUCAAAUGCCAACGUGGGGCAGGGCGGGACGGGGUGGGUGGGGUGAAGAUGAAGAUGAAGAUGAACAGUAUUCCCUUUCUUUUCUUUGAUUUUUAUUUAUUUUGUUUUUACUUUUCUAUUGUUAUUAUUAAUUAUUUUAAUUAUUAAUAUUAAGAAAAAAUGCAAAGUACCACUUUGCCUUUCUUAAUCUGGUCCAAAUUGGUCAAAUUUUAACUUUUCUAGUCAACUAACGGUCAAACAGAAGGUUUCCAUCCAUUUGAACCUCCGGUGCAUAUUUUUGAAAGGUUUGGAACUGUGAUUGGCACAAACUAAAAGUCUAAGCAAAGUCUGCUAAUAAACGAAAUGUUUGAUAUCUCGACUGCAAUUUUCCCUAAUAAUUAUUGAUGUUAACAUUAUCAAGUCAAGUAGAAAGCAAUCUGAAUUCUUAUGAUUAACAUUUUCAUUUAUGACAGCAAAAUCUGAAUUCAGUUAUUUUCUAAAAAGGUUGAACCUCAACCUUGAGGGCUCUCACCACCCUGCUCCUAAAGCUUUGUGAGAGAGGUAAAUCGUGGGAUGUGCCUCAACAGGCCACGGAACAAGAGCUGUAUGUACACUGCGCCUACAAGGAAUCCAAUUCCAUGUUUCAGGAAUCAAACCCCCAUACUGCGGCUGCCAGCAAGGCGUGAAAUAACCUCACUCAUGUCCUUUGCACCACUAGGCUAUGCCUCGGGGGGCAAAUUCAGUUAUUUUCUACUUUGACUCUUUGAGCACUUUAUGCGAGAGAGACUUUAAAUAAUAAUUUACGCAUCUUUGCUAUCUGACUGACAAUUUCUUGGGAUAAUUGCAUCAAAAACAUCAUAUCGUUGAAAUAUUAAUAGAUUUUUUUCAAACUUUUCCAUCAUUGCAGAUAUCAUCCUUAACCUUUUCAAUCAUUGCAUAUGAGGUCCUUUUAAACAAUUUCCGUUCACCCCCGGGCAAACAAAAUGUAUAUGUCUCAUUCAUGCUUGUCCGUUUCUGCCUACCACUUACCGACCAAGAACAAGAAGUGGUGCGUUUCAUGAAACCCAGGAACUUUGGAUUGAUCUAAAAAAAUGAUUUUGAUCACGUUUUAACUAUUUCUAUAAGGGUAAAAUAAUAAACUCAAUACAUUUCCAUAUAAAUAUAAUAAAAAUAAUUUCUUUUAAAAAAAGGAAAAGCCAAACCAAAAUGUCCCACCCAUCGCCACCCACCCAGCCCCAAGCGGCUACCAAAUUUGUGGAAAAUACCCUCACUCCGAUGGAAUCAUACUCCUCACACACUCCAAAAAAAAAAAAAGCUAGACAACUAUUUUGAAGGAAUAAAUUUGUCAAAAACAACCUCUUCACAAAUUAAGAAACCACUUCUUGUAUGCCCCUCAGGGCACAUCCCAACUGGCAAAAAUGAAGGCGCUUCAAGGUUGGCAGAUCAGAGGUCGUGAAUUCGAUUUCUGGAAGGCUCUUGGAAGACAGAUAUUCUCAUGGAAGGCAGGAUUUAUUCUGAAAGACAGGAGCUCUACUGGAAGACAAUGUGCAAAGAUGGGAAACGACUUGCUUGACACUUUGGCAGAUCAGUUGGAAGGGCUCUUGAGCACUGAUCAGUUUAUGGCACAACUUGCGAUUUAACCUGUCUGCAGGUUAAGGGGCCAAGGUGUAGACUGCAGGAUUUAGUCACUGUAAGGUGGAUACCUGGAUAUCAAAAAAAAAAAAAAAAAAAAACCACUUCUUGUGACACCACCGUUUAUCUGGCUUUAUCUACGCUUACAUUUUGAUGGAACAACAUCACAAAAAAGCCCAAAAUAUUAUUGCAAUUGUUGGGAAAACGUGCCCAUUCUACGAAAUCGUUACAAGCACUCGCACCUCCUCCAAUUGACGGGUUCCACAUUAUUUUUCCAUCCAAUUUCAAAAUAGUUUAAUGCUCAGCACUAUUAUACGGCCUAUGAUGUACAAUCAAUUGAAUGAAUUCAGCCUUCAAUUGGUUCAAUUUUGAAAUCUGCCUCAACACGCAUGGAACACAAUUCGGCCAAUUCAUCACUUUCUGCUGGGACCCACACACGAUUACCACUCCAUUGAAUUCAGAAGCAUCAAAAUACCUAUGGCAGUCCCCCGUUGACCAAUUUUGCCAGCAGUCAUGCUAUCAUAAAAUGGAAACCUCCCAGGUUGGCAUCGAUGAUUUGGGAAGGGUGGCUGUGUUUUGGUUUGGGGUGGUUUGUGGGCAGGAUGGUGGUUGCAGCUAAUGGUGAUUGCAGUUGGGCGUCAAGUGGUCAUCGGCCAACGAGGGGUGGAAAGGGUGGGACAUUUAUCUUGCGCAGCGAUCAUUUGGAUGGAAACCAUUGGAAAGAGCCUUACCUGAAAUGGUUGGAAAGGUUAAGGAGACGAUUGCAACGAUUGAAAGGUUUGGAGAAAGGUAGAUACUGUUUCAAAAGUGUGGAUUUUUGAUGCAGUUAUCCCUAAUUGCUUUUAAAACUUUAAACCCUUAAAGGUAAAAUUAAUUUUUUAGCCCCUGCUUGAUUUUGCUAAAAUAUAGAUUUUUAGUAAAUUUUGAUAAACAUUGUUGAAAAUAUGUGAUUGAAAAAUUGAUAACUAGAUUUUAUAAAAUGUGUGAUUAAUAAUACCUUUCCAUAGGAAAUAAAAACGUUAGAGAAAUAUGCCAAACAUAUCAAAAUCAAAGUAAAGCACAACAUAGACACAAGCGGAUAAUCCCUUACCUAAUCAACUAGUCAAUCUAUGUAUAAUUGUCGGGUUAUUAGGUAACAUGUAAGAGAGAGAGAGAGAGUCAAAAAUGUUCUUUGUGUAUAAUUUUGAAUAAUCUCAAACCGGAAUCCUAUAGUGGAAUCAUUGCAAAAUAAAGUUUUAACGGCUGGAAACCAAAAAAAGAUUAAGCCUUUAAGCAUGUUGAUGGUUUUCUAUAGCCCAAAUCCUUUGAUUUCGGAUUGGAAUAAGGAGUCCAGCAUUAAUACUAUUGCUUCACUCUAUGCUAUUGAAUGUAUGUUGGUGCAAGAAGGGCCGCUUGAUCACCACUCUAUUUACUUUGCAAGUAGACGAUUUUCCUUUGGUACAACCAUUGAACCUUUUUUAUCAUGAUUCGACUCAUACCGAAAAUUUAAGAUCGAGCACUAGAUCCGCUCAUAAAAUGUACCAAAAAGAAGAACUUAAAAGCUAAUAGAGCACAUAGCGAGCUGUGAGAUGAAAUAACGUUAUUAAGCUAGUAACCUCAUCUCUCUUUCUUACCUGUCCUUAUCACCCUUUAGUAGUGGGCAACCUUUCUUCCCUGCCUUUCUUCCAGCUUUUCCUAGAUAAAAAUAUUUCUUAGUGCAUUUUCUUUCGUGACUUUAGUUAAAAAAUUUGUCAAUUUAUUUAACCAAACCAAAAUGGGGGCUUCGUAGUGUACAUGCUGAUUUUCUAUGUACUUGUGUCAAUGUCUGACGUUAUGAUAAGCAAGUACGUUUGUCCCUUUUAAGCUCCCUAGACCUUGGCUGUUAAUUGCGAGUGGUAGUUGAAGAUUCCAGCCACCCAAUGUGGAUUCACGGCUACAAAUAUUCUUCCUCAAUUAAUCAAAUUUAUUAGUUUGCUCGUCAAAUUAAAAUUAUUCAUUUCGUGAUUGUCUGAACGAAUGAACGUAUUAAAGAAAGAAAUUUACGGGUCACUUGCACCCUCGUAUUAGUUUUCAUUCAAUUGUAAUUUUAAAUUUACUGGUUAAUACAAUACCAUAAUACAAAUGUAUGGAAUUGAAGUUUUACGUUACCUUAUUAUUGAAAAAUAUCAUUUGAAACGACAAACUUUGUUAUUAUAGAAAAAUAUCAUUUGAAAUGACAAACUUUGGAUUAAAAAAUCAACUUAUAAGUUUCAAAAUAGUUUAAAUUCUUCCCUAGUUUAUAAGUUUCUAGUCAUCAUACAACCAAUUUGUUUUACAUUCCAAAAAAUAUAUAUAAAAAAAAUUCUUUUGUUUACACAAUGUGCACUCUAUUAUUUGUCAUAAAAUUGUACAUUACUAUCAUGGAAAUUUUAAGUCUUUUAUAAGCAUAUAUUCAAUUAUACUGUUCGAACGCAGAUUAUUAUUUUAUUCAAACAUUUAGGUGUAACGAUUCAAUAUUUUUAUAAAUAAACCUAAAUGAAAAAAGUUCCAAAGCUGACUUCCACCAAAAUAAAAUAAAAAUUAAAAAUGAGAAAUAUUAGAUGUAUUUAUUCCCUUUUCACUUUAUUGUCAGGCUUCACCAACAAGACAAUUGUGUUGAAAGUUGUGCAUUUUUUGGUAGCUUUGUUCCCUCAACUUGAGAACGAAAUAUAGCUGUCAUUGCUUAUUGCUCCACAUUUUUUAAUGUAUGUGUAUUUUCCAAGAGAUUAUCUUGGGAUUUGCUUCAUUUCCCCCCUCCAUGAAAUUAGGUUUAAUUAAUUUUUGGAUAGAAAACGUGCAUUUCGCACAUGCUGCUUUGUGCUAGAACUGGGCAGUCUACCCGAUCAUCGAAUCAAAAGAUCGAAUUAGGUGAACUUUCAACUAAAAAAUCGAUCAAAAACAAAAUCGAAGAGUCUGCUUGAUUUGUCAAUUUCAAGAGCAUUUAUCUUUUAUGAUCAAUUUUUUAAUUUUUUACAACCUCAUCCUAAAAUUGAAAUUUUUGAUUGGUUUGGAAAAUCGACUGACUUUCCUCGAGGUAAUAUAUUCAUCUCUACUUUGGGCCUUCCUAAUGAAGUUGAAUAGAAUCAAAGAUCAAGUAUUCGGCGUUUAAAACAAAUGACCAUAGUCUUUUCAAAUACACGUUGGCUUUAAAAAUAGUUGUGGUUUCUCUUGAUCUUGAAUAAAAAAUGAUCAAUGAUUUGUUGAAGGCAUAAAAACUCAACAGAUAGCAAUAAGGCAGGGUAAGGCAGGUUGUGGACGACUAUUAUCAUCUUCAUCAUAUGGAUUUUCGGCCGGGAGGAGAUUAUAAAAUCUUCAUUUAUCGUUGUGUUUAUUUAUUUAUUAAAUAAAAUUUAAAUUAAAUUAAAAAUAUAAAAAAUACUAAAUAAAAAUAUUCAGGAUGGAGACUAUAAUUCUUGUUUGUCAAUAUAAAUUCUAUUAAUUAUAAAUAAAGUUAAUUUUUGGGGUAAAUCGUUUUAAAAGUUGUCUAUUUCUUUUUCCCCCACUUUAAAACGAAGAUGCUUGAUUAAUCAUUCAAAAUCUUUGUUAAAAUAUUUUGCGUGGAUUUUUAUACGACGAUUAUUAUUUCAUUUAUGUGUAGGUCAAAAAGAACUUGUAUACAAUAUCAUUUUAUAUUUAAAAGAUAAAACGACAUAAUAUAAUACAAUUACUUUCACAUUUUGGGACUUUUAGCUUUAUUUCAUUUCUUUUAACCUAAUUUGUUGUAUGAAGUCAACAAAGCACAAUGAACGAAAGUUUCUUUUGAAUCAUCAACUACGUCUCAAAUAUAAAUAAAAAUAAAGUAAAACUCCCUUUUAUAUAACAUUUUAGAUAUAUCUUACUUUUUUACUUUCAAAAAAAUAUUGUUGCUUAUAUUUAAAUAACUCUCUUUGACUUACUUAUUUUUGAACUUAUAAUUUAUAAGUAGAAAACAUAUUAUUUGUUACUAAUAAAAUUUAAAAUAAGAGAGUUAUUCAUCUUGAAAAUAGAAUAAGAGUUGCUUUCAAAAAAUUCCUUAAAAAUAAAUUAUCCAAAUACGUUUAAAGAUAAAAAAAUUACUUAAAAGCAAUUAAUAUACUUAACCAAACAUGCUUGACAUUCGCAUGCGCCUUAAUUUAUUUUCUUUUCUUUGUUUAUAAAAAUAUUGCUCGAUAUCUCUAUAACUUUGUUUUGCCUAUUUUCGAAUGAUUCCGAAUAUUCCUUGAUUACCAACUUUUAUGUUUUGCUUAUUUUUAGUGCAGGGGGCCCCAUAAGUCACAUUUUCAAUCAAUUACGUAUUAAUUACUUUCUUGAUAACCUUUUUCCAGCUUAUAAUCGUCUUGUCCUCUUAUGGUGGCUAUUUCGCAAAAAAUAAAUAAAUAAAAAUAUAAUAAUAAUAAAAUAAAAAACUUCUACUUACUAAAACACUCGGGGAAAAAAAAAUUCGUUAGCUACCAAAAAUGCUUUAAAUUUUAUCUUUCUGUCUUUUAUCUAUAAUUAGUCAAAGUACCCGAGUUGCACGUAAUUAUGUAAUAAUAUUUUUAAUUAUUUAUAUAUCUAUACGAUUAUAAUAUAUUAAUUUAGACAAAAAGGUGUGUAUAUGAACUUGAAUAAUGAAUUUACACCCUUAAUUAAUUGAAUAAUUUUUAAAUAAUUAAGUGUACGAGAGAUUGAAGAAUGAAUUUAAGUCCUAACAGUUGUGAAAAUAAAUAAUGAGGUUGAAGAAUUAAUUUACACACAAAUACAUUACAUGAAACAAAAAAUUAAAAAAACAGCAAAAAAUAAAAAAAUAAAAACAAUUUGCAAAUCUUUGUAGCUAUGAAACUGUAUCAACAAUCUAAAAGAAAUUGGAGUAUAAGAUCUUCUGAAGAUUCUCCUUCCUCUAAUUGAUUGGUUGACGAUUAAAAUAAUGUCAUUGUUAUUAUAAAUUUAGCUGAUCGAGUUAUAUAAUAUUAUCAAAGGAGAUUGGAAAAUAGAGUUAAACUUUAUGCAAUCGGCUAAAAUUCAAUAGCUCCAACCAGAAAUCAAUUCGAGUAAAGUUUCACAAAUGAAAACCAUAAUUCUAUAUGUAUUAGUCCUUUGCCCGUACAUUGCACUAGCUAUGAUAUUUUUAAAAUAAUGUUAGUGCGUCAAAAGUUAAUGAAAAUCUAAAUUAUUUUGAAAGCCAAAUUAUUCUAAAAUGAAGUGUCAAAAACGUGCGGCAGUACUUCCUAGCCUCAUCAAGACCACAGUCAGUAGAUCCUAAAGCUGACAUCACUGGAGUUGUACUCCCUAUUAAGUCCCUAUUUGGCCCCCAUUUUCGAAAAAUGAAAAUUGAUGGAAUAGUGUUUUUUUUUAAAAAUGAGUUAUUGAAAAAAAAAAUUCGAGAAAGGAUUUUCGAUUUACGUGUAAUAUUAUUUUAUAGAAGAUUGUGUGGUUGAAAAUAUGAAAAAUAAAAAUGGAAUGUAAUGUGAUGAAAUUUAAUGAGGACCAAACGGGGUUAAUGUUGAAAAAGUUGAAUUCUCCCUCUUUUGAAAUGAGGAAAACAAGUCCCCAUUUGCCCCCAUUAUUGUAAAUUUUAAUGGGUGAAAUAGUAUUUUUUUUAAUAAUAUAGGAUUGAAAAAGAAUGAAUUUUUUUCGAUUUACGUGUAAUAUUAUUUUAUAGAAGAUUAUAUGAUUGAAAAUAAGAUAGAGAAUAAUAAAAUUUUAAUUUAAUAGACAAACAGGUACCAAAUAAUGUCAUUUUCAAGACACUGAAAAACAGCAUCCAGGAAAAACAUAUUACUAAAAAAAUACGUGCUUCAUCUAUCGAAGCCUGAUCAAUACCCUUCUCAAAAAUCAGUUCCACCUAUUUAAAUAGAAUAAAUAGAUAUAGCGAGUCAUAAUGCAUGCAUGCUAUAUUCGAGAUUUGGCUGCAACACUAAAAGAUAACACCAUAUUAGGUUUUAGGAAUAAUAGUUUAUCUUGCUUCCAGCGGAAGGGUGGAUGUUCAAUCUUAGUGGGAAUCUGCGGUCAGAUUUAUUUGGUAUGAAGCAAUCACUUUGAAGGAGGAUCUCUUGUGCGCAGAAGUGUACAAGCGGUGGGGGAACCUGUGAUCCAAUUGAGACAUAAUCCGCGAUUUACCCCCUCUAAGGUUCUAGGGACAAGGAUCUUGGGGGGUUCAGGAUUUAGUUUAGUGUAAGUUGGGAUACCUGGAUAUUAAAAAAAAAGAAAAAAAGAAUAGUUUGUAUUUCUAUCAUAUUCAACAUUAACCGAGCAUGGGUAGCGUAAACGCUAAGCAACUGUAAGGCAUCAUGCAUGUUUCUAGAGAAAAGGUAAAUAAUCCGUGAUAACCGCACCACAUUUAUACGAAAAGUCAAUGAAAGAACUGUAGUCAAAUGCAUAUGCAAGCCAUUGCAAGCAAAAGAUUAAUAUAUCGAAAAAUAUAUAACACAGCUACAUUUGUGAUGUAGCAUCAAGUUAUCUCAGUUUCGGAUGCAUAAUAUAUCUUGUGAAUGUUCAAUCCCAAACAUGCAUGCAACAGAGCAACUAUUAUGAAAGAAUCUGAGACCUCGUUUCUAAAAGCUCGACCAAUCUGCGCAACUGCAAAAGGGAGCCUUUUUCCCAUUGUAGUAUUACAAGUUUCUGAAGUUCACAAAAAUCCCUUCAGCCAUCUCAAAAAUCGACUUACAAAAAGAUUUAUAUUAAAAAAAAUCAUUAAAUUAAUGCAAUAAGUACAAAUUUGCAUAAUCCGAAGUAUAAAUACACAUUCUCACCUAGGGCUCAAAGCGGAUGGAUUUAGUGAUAUCUGAAACAUGAGAUUGAAUGGAUAGGGGUCGGAGAGGGGCUCUUAGCCCCCGUUUGGUCCCCAUUUUCUAAAAGUGAAAAUGAAUGGAUUAGUGUUUUUUUGAAAAAUGAGUAGCUGAAAAAAAAUGAAAGUUUUCGAUUUAUGUGUAAUAUUAUUUUGUGGAAAAUUAUGUGAUUGAAAAUAGAAAAGAGAAAAAUAGAAUGUAAUAGAAUUUAAGGUAAUGAGGGCCAAACUAGAGCUUAAUAUCUGGAGCUGAAAUGACAUAUUCCUUGAUCUUUGCACCGAGCUCUUCAGCAGAGAGGUCAACUAACAUGGCAAAGCACGUGCCUCAAUUCCGAUACCUUUUCCACACUUAGCUUAAGAUAUUUCCCAAGCUUGUCUCUGCAAUAAUCCUUUAGCACGUGAUCAUACGAACUGUAUGCAGUAAAAAAAUUCAAAAUCUCAAUUAAAGAAAAAAAUUUAAUUCACUCAAUUAGUAAUCACAGUUUGUACGAAUUAUUGAUUGAAAAUGGAGGCAGCGGAUCCAGGAUUUUGAGUCAGUAUAAACGGUUGUUGAUCGUCGAUCGUCGACCGCAAUAAAAUAUUAAGCGCCCGUUUGAUGUCAUUUUCUUAGCAAAAAAAUGCAUUUUGAAAUAGUGAUUUGAUAGAGAAUGUGUAGUUAAAAAUAAAUGAAAGUUUUGAAUUUGCGUAUAAUAUUUAUUUAUUAAAAAAAUGUAUGAUUAAAAAUAAGAUGGAUGAAAAUGUAUUUUGAAAUAAAUGAGAAUCAAACAAGGCCUAAAAUUUAAAUAUAACAAUUAUUUUGUUUCAAUUGAAUGUAUAUAAUUUUGUUAUAAGAAUAAAUUGUAUUUAUCAAAUGACAUUAUUGUCAAGUUUCGUAUAAUUUCAAUGAAGAGUACAAGUUUGGAUGAUUGUAAUUGCAUUAAAACCAGAUGUAACACAUAAUAUUUUGUUAAACUUAGAGUGAAAAAAGAGCAAUUGCCAUGAUGGUUAAGCUUGCAAUGAUUUUAGCACAAGGUCCUAGGUUCAAAUCUCUUCUGGCACUGAAUUAAUUUUGGUAAAAACAAAGAUUCUAGUGCUAAAAAUAUUGCAAAAUAACUCGGUUGCCAAAAGAUUCGAACUCGAGACCUGCAUCAUGUAUAUGCACAAUCUAACUAACUCGGCCAGAAGGAAUGAUUGGAACAAAGAUGAAUUACCAGUAAUAUAACCUAAAAUGUUGAUUGUUGUCAACCAAAAAAAAAAAAGAGCUGUUAGAGGAUUCAGGACGCACGACCGCGGGAGCUCGCCAGGUGCUGGAUCAGCCAGUGGGAGGUGUAGAAAUAAGUGGUGCUCGUUUAUCCUCUCUCCCAAUCAAUAAUUAUGGCUUUCCUUUUUAUUUUUUGGUCUAAAUAUGGAACAGUGAAAUGAUAGAAAUCACAAAUGAACAGUAAUCUUCAAAUUCCUUCAUUUCACAUUGAAUAAAGAUGAUAAUAUAUAUUAAUUUAAAUUUUUUAAAUUUUGAGUUAUGUUAUUAUUAGAGAAUAAAAUACAAAUUCAAAAUUUUAAAAUCCAAAGCAAAUGAAUUUUUAACGGGUGAAUUAUCCAGAAAUAAAAUUAAGGCAAAUUUUUUCUUCUUCAUGAGGCCGAGACCUAAGACCGGGUGGCGACUUAUGCCUCGCCUCGCCCUGCUAACCCGAUGGGUUUUUUUAGAGAUUGGGUUCUGCCAAGGCGGGACGGAUUUUUCUGCCACCUCUACUUUUUAAUAAGGUUGAUUUUUUAAGAUGAAAACUCAUAUUUUAAUAUAAUAUCAGAGUCCAUUAAGUUAAAGCGAGCAAUUCGAUUCAAUUAAAACUAAAAAAUGAGCACGUAAAUCUCAAGAUUGAUUUGCUCAAAUGAGCUACCAUCUUGCGGGAACGUGUUAAAGGAUAAAAUUUCACAUCGAAUAAAGAUGAAAAUUUGGACCCACUUAUAUAGACUUGACUAUUUUUCUUAAUAAAGUUAACAUUUUAAAAUGGAAUUCCAAGUUUUAAUAGUGACAAUUGGCAAGAUUGACCCGAAACAACUGCCACUUUGUUUUCUACAUUGCUUAUAAUAUGGAAUUCUCCUGGGAGCAAUGCUACAAGUACAACAGUUUGAUAUCAUAGUUGACAGUUCGCUAACAUACAAGAGGAGGGGCCCACGAUUAAAAUGAUUGCGGGUCCGACAAUUGUGUACACACAUCAUUUUCCUUCUCCUAGUUCUCUCAAUAGGGCUAUCAAAAAUUGUUGUAAUACUAUAAAAAAGUUGGGGAAUAAAUGAAUUCUAUUUUCUUCCGUGCUUUGUCAUCAUUGUGGAUGAAUAUUCUUAAAAAGAAUACUAGUGUAAAGCACCAAUCUCAAUGAUUUUUGCAUGACAUUAAAUAAUAAAUUUAUUUAAAUGUAACGUCACACGAUUUAUUUAAUUGAACAUGUCAAAUGUGGCUACUUAAACUGGCGUUAGAUAAUAUUAUUCUUUUAAAAAUUAAAGAAUUAAUAAAGAGAAUCCUUUUUGCCGAAUGGUUAAUGAUUUGUAAACCUGAGUGUUUAAACAUCGACAAAUUUUUACUUUUAAAAAAACUAUUAUAAUCUCAUCCAUUGAAAUCUAAGAAAGUUUAAAUCGAGAACAAAGUUUACCUUUGUUUGAUGUCUAUUAAAAAGAGCUUUUUUUUUCUUUUUUUU